This 54907-nucleotide long non-coding RNA is filed under the name Salvia miltiorrhiza (redroot sage). RNAcentral's name for it is "long non-coding RNA (SMIL_LNC011427)". Lineage: Eukaryota; Viridiplantae; Streptophyta; Magnoliopsida; Lamiales; Lamiaceae. The record is from RNAcentral.
UGGGGAUGGUGGAGCCGACGGGGGCCAUGAAGAAGGUGAUGCCGUCAGCGGUGAGGUUGGUGGGGCUGGGUGUGAUUAUGAAGUUUACGGUGGUUUCAAAGUCGACUUGGCCGCCGGCUUGGGAGAACUGGACCGGGUUCGAGUGCAAGACCCGGCCGACACUGCCUAUCGUCGGGAAGGUGAGGCGGAGGAAGGGGGAGUUCCAUACGAAAUGGGCGUGGCCUUGGUAGGUGAGAUCGGUCGGCAAGUCACUCCAGAAGUCGUAGGUGAAGGACGUCGAUUGGGACUGCGCAGUGUUGGCGGCAGCGGCGAGGAGGAGGAUGAUGGAGGAGAGGAGAGGAAUUAGGGUUUGGAGGAGCUUAGCCAUGGCUUAAUUGAGUAUAUUUAGAUGUGGUGGAUGAUGGUGGUAUCUCUUGCUCCUAUUUAUAGUGAAUAGUGUAUAGUGUAUAGAGUAUAGUGUAUAUAUGCAUGAUAUUAUGAUUUAAUUGCCUAUGAAUUAUUAAACUUUCAUCAAAUUCUUAUUUUAUAUAUAAACUUCAAAUUAAAUGUAGCGUGAUAAUCACUAAAUUUAUUUAAUCUUAUAUUUGCUACCAAUCAGGAUUCUAGCCAAAUUUACUAUUGACAUUACAAAGUCGAGGAUAUCCUAAGAUGGAUUGAAACAUUAAGAUAUUCCAAGGAUCUUAAUAAUUUCUAUCAUUUGGCAUAAUUUUAUUUGAUUCAUAUCUCAUUGAAAGAAUAUGAUUUUUAUCCCCUCCGUUCACAAAGAUUGUAUGGUGAACUCAGGACAUGAGUUUUAAUAAAUACUUCUUCCGUCCCCAAAAUAACUUUCUAUGAGAGAGGGGCACGAGUUUUAAGAUAAAAUUGUUGAGUGUAUUCGAAGUGGUUAAAAAGUGUUAGUAUUGAAAGUGAUGAAAAUGUGUUAUAAUUAGUAUUUGAAGUGGUGAAAAGGUAAAAAAAUAGAGUAAAUAUAUGGAGUAUAUAUUAGUAGAAAGUGUAGAAAGAUCCACCAAAAUUGAGUGGAGAAAAAGAUCCACUAAAAUUGAUGUGUUAAAUGGUUGAAUAUUUUGUAAAUAUUGAAUGUGAAUGAUGUUUAAAAUGUAAGGGGCGUAGUUUCUAAAUAAAGAAAGCAUACAAUCUUUAUGGACAGACGAAAAUAAUAAUAAACAUACAAUCUUUGUGGAUUGAGGGAGUGAUAAACAUUUCAUUCAUUUAUUGUGGUUUGGAAUCGAUCUUUAUCAACAUUACAUGCAUUCACAAAUAUGAAGAAGGAUUUAAAACGUGUGACACCUUAUUUUAUAUUUAAAAUCGCAAUCACGAAGAGGACCACACUUAUCCUCUAAUCAAUGCUCUCCAUUAUUUUAUAGGAAAGGAUAAACAUGAUUCUUGGUUUAUUUAUGCUUUUAAUAUAUACAAUUAGAUGAUUUUUGGGGCAAAAAGUGAAGAUUUUGAUGUCCGACGGAGUCAAGUAAAGAAGUUGAAAAAAUCGAUUUUUGAUGCAAUUUUAGAAGAUCCAAAGAUGAUAAGAUCUGUGCUUGAGGGAACUUAUUUUGCAUAAGAAAGACUUUCAUUAAUUUCUUAAUUCGAGUAUAAAAUUAGAGGAUUAAAACCACAACUAAUGUUCCUUUGGCUUUUCCUUGAACAAUGUUGGGUAGCUAGUGAAUUUUCUUUGGUAAGUUCGUCCUUUUCUUUGACAAUGAGAAUUGACGUAAAUUGGAUUGUAUUGAAGAUUCUAGUAACAUUAUUCUAGUUUAUAUUUCAUGAUUUAAGGGCUGAAAAUAUGUAAGUAUGUUAAAGGCUAAAUUUUAGGUAAAUAAGUGCUCCAUACUUUGUUAAUAUGCCACUUUACAAAUAAUGUAUGUGUGAACUUGAAUUUGUUUUUUCAUUUAAAGAGAACUAAUAAUGAUAUCCAUUUCCCCCGUGAUGAUUCGAACCCCCAACUUAACAAUUACUGGUGAAACGUUUUAUCCAUGUGAUGACUCUAACCCCCCAAUUUAUAAUUAAUGAUUGGAUGGGAAGCGUAUUGAGGUUGUUAGUGAUUCUUCCAAGGUUAUUUUGUAACUAUGAACUAUCGAUUUUGUAUCAAUUGUACCCUGCAUUUGUUUUUUAGCUAGAGAAAAUAUGAGAAAAGAAAUGAGACAUUUAAAGGCAUAAAUUUUUGUUAUCCCUCAUUUUCUCAUCCAUCAAAGUGAACGCACCCUUAAAUGAUGAUUUGAAAAAAUAAAGUGAUUGUUUCUACGCUAAACCUAAUUGCGUUCGGCCUUUUUCGUUAUUUUAGUAUUUUCCUCAUUUAUUUUCAAUUCUGUUUCCUAUAUAUGGAUAUUUGAUGUAUGAGAAGAUGCUUUCAUAUGAUCCAUUUCAGAAAUAAAAUUAUUUAUUUUCUUUCUCACGAAGAGCGCUCACUUUGACAUCAGUAUCGCAUGAGCUGCACAUAAUUAAUGAAAGAAAAUAAGCAUACACUUGCAUUAUAUAAGAAGAGCAUAUAUACUCGCAGCCGUUUCUCAUAAAUUUCACGCAGUUUUUCGAUCUUUAGAGCCGCCGGCAUGCUCGGCCGAUCUGAAGCUCCAGUAGUCGAUAUCGUGAAGGGCGACGAGGUCGCCGGUGGAGGAGGCGAUUCCGACCUGAACCUGCGACGGAAGAAUUUCCCCCAAAUCAUACUCGUAUUCGAGAAGGCGAGUUUCUUUGUCGCAUUUGAGCGUAACGUCGAUGAAAUUGAUGCCGUCGUAUUGUAUGUGCAGCUGCGCCUCUUUCCCGAUGCACGAAUCGCCAAAUUUCACGAAGUUGCUCGACUUUAUCGAGCUGAUGUCGAUGCCGAUGUGCGGGAGAUCGUGGCUCGGAUCCCAACCGUUGGAGUAGAGGUCGAAUUCCACGGCAAAGAAGGCGGAGGCGGCCGGGCUAUCCCCCGAGGGGUUGAAUAGGCCUAGAUUGCCUCCGUAGGAACCCGGGGGGAUGGUGGUCCCCACGGGCGCCAUGAAGAAGGCGAUGCCGUCCGCGGCCGGGCCUUUUGUGGGGGUGAUGGUGAAUUUUAUGGUGGUAUUGAAAGAUACUACAAUUGAAUUUUCCCACAAUUUGAAGGGUUUGGAGUACAAUACGCGGCCGAUGCUCGACGGCCGUGGAAGGCCGUUGGCGUCGGUCUUGGUUAGCCGGAGGGAACGGGCGCCGUCGGGGACGUGGGCGUCGCCCUGGUAGGUUAGGUCGGUGGAGUUGGCGACGAAGGAGGUGAAGGUGAAGGAGGUCUUUUGUGAGGUCGCCUUGUUUGCUAGCAUUAGGAAAAAUGCUAUGCAAAAGAGGAGAAGAAUUAGGGUUUGUAGAAGCUUGGCCAUGGCUUGAUUUGAUGGGUGGAGUAUUAUUUGGAUGUAGUGAAUAGUGGUUGGCUCUCUAGCCCUAUUUAUAUUGGUUUAAUGCCACAUUCCAUUAUUAGUUUAAUAUAUUGUAGCUCACUAUUUUUUUUGAACUUUAUGGAGAAGGCAUGAGUUUUUUAAAAAAAUUGAGAAAUGUGUAUAAAAUGAAUAAAGAGGCUCACUAAAGUUGAUUUGGCAGGUAUUAAUAAAUUAUUUGUGUGAUGAGUUUUUUGUAAAUAUUGUGUGUGAAUGAGGGUAAAAUAUAAAGGUACAUAUGUCUUAAAAGGGACGGAAAUGACAAAUACUUAUUGUGGAUAAAGGUAGUAUAAUAUACGGAGUGUAUACUUAAGUUUAUCAAUUUUAUUACUAAAUUAAAUAUGGUUAAUUUAAUAUCAAUAUGCUUAUUAGUAAUUAGUAUUACUCCAUUCAUCCCAAAAACAUCAAUCUUUACUUAUUUUUUCGUUCGUCUCCAAAACAUCUUCCUAAUCUAUUUUUAUGUCCUGUAUUAAAUUUUCAAGCUAGUUUCACUCCCCAACUAUCGUUUAAAUUAUACAUACAUAUAUGGACGACUUGAAAAUUUGUUAAGGCAAUUGAUUAUGCCCAUGCCGUAUAGAAUCAAAAACCAUUCCUAAACAAAAAAUAGAAUAAUUAAGAAAAUAAUCUAGAAUAUAAAUAUAGAACUUAAAUUCUUUGCCACAAAUUUAAGUCAAUCAGCCGACAUAGUAAAUGUAUGUGUUUACAAGUAAUCAUGCCUUGUCUUGAGAUUCAAGUUGGCAAUUGAAGCAAAAUUUCUCACACAUAGCUAUCUACUCUAGCUAUGAAAUCAUGCAUUGUCUUGAGAUUUAAUUUGGCCCAUGAAUCCAAAUUUUGCAAUCAUGCCAUGUCUUAAGAUUCAAUUUGGCCCAUGAAACUAAAUUUCUUGAGCCUAUCUCUAACCUCUUUGAUAUUCAUAUAUAAUAACACCUUUAAAACACACACAACCCACUUCUAAAGUUCUACAUGUAUACACACGAACUCAUGCUUAUGUCACAAAUUAAGUUUUUCAAAAAUAAACUUUUCCCUAUUUGAAUUCCUUAUGUAUUCAGUUUGUUUUUAAUAUUUAAACUAUGUUAUUACAACAAAAUUAUCUAGCAGGGACAUGAUUUUAGCAACAUAAAAAAAGAUGUCAUAAAUUUCUUACUCCCUCCGUCCUCCGAAGCUUGAUCAACAAUUUCUUUUCGGCACGGAGUUUAAGGAGUUAAUAUUUUGUAUGUUAAUUAGUGUGGUAGGUGAAAAAAUGAAAAGAUGAAUAACGGGAAAAGUUGUUGCCAUAUAAGGAAAGUGAUCAAGCUUCGCGGAUAACCCAAAAAUGAAUACUGCUCAAGAUUCGCUGGAAGAAUGAAGUACAAUUUUAGGCAUAACAAAAAUUUAUUUACAUCCACACAUGCAUGCACCGAUACUUUAUCACAUGCAAAAUUACAAGUAACUUUGCUAAUUACAAAAAUUAAUACAUGAACCCUCAAAUGUCACUAGAUGUAAUGAUAUUUUUAUAUUUUUUCGACACACAUAAUAGUUACUCAUCACAAAAUAUCAAUAUUUUUAUCAUAUAGUGAUAUUUAUAAGUUUCACAAUUUUUCAAAUAUUAUGUCAAUGCUAGCUUAGACAUUUUGUUUUGACACUUUGUAUUGAAACAUGUUUUUUACAAAAAUAAAAUAAUUGAAUUUAUUAACGAAUAUUUAAACAAUCAAUCAAUAAUAACUACAAAGUGAAGCAAUUCAAGUUAAAAGGUAAAUUCUAAAUUUAAAUUUGAAAAACAAGAAAAUUCGAGCCUUAAUUUUUUUUAUUUUUUUAUAUACGCACUACAAAUCUCCCAUAAAUCUUAAAUCAAAAUUUAACCUUACAACAAAAAAUAAAUAUAUAAACUAAAAUGGAGUAUGAUAAUAUAGUUUUAUCAAAUUAUUUGAUAAUUCUAUUAAUAAAAGAUAAAAAAAAAAAUAAGGGGGGCCCACGGGCAUGCUGCCCCCAUAUGCUAUGGACCAUGGUGGCUAGGUCACUGCGCUCUCGAGAUCUACACUAUUUAUACGUGGUAUUCAUUGCGAAUUAUUUUGCAUUAUCUUUGUUUAUUUUUCUUAUAUUGGGAAAGAAAACAUGAGUAAUAUAUAGUAAUCUUUUAGAAGUCCAGUUACCAAUGUCGUCAAAAUUAUCUUGUCUAUUUUUAGAAGUUCAGAUAAACAUGCAACACAUUUUCAGAAGAAAUUUAAUAAUCUCUUACGAUUUACAUUUAUUUUUUAAAUAAUUAUCUCAGUGGUGAUAAAAUAAAAAAAUCGACUACAUUUUUCUAAGUAAUUUAUUAGAUACAAAAUAUUAUGAUUUAUGUUUGUAUAUUUUUUGUUUCCCAUUAGUGCAUUAUCAUUUCUAAGUAUCUUCUCACUUGUUCACUGAUUCACUAUUGGAUUAACAUGAAUAUACGAAUUUCAUAGUAUACCAACUGUUCGAUAAAAGUCCUAAAAGAAAUCUUCCAUAGAUAACCUUGCAAAUAACAGGAAACUAAAAUUACUCCCAAAGCAUUCCAUACAUAGAGAUGCGGAUUACCUUAUUCGUAGACUUAACGAGAGUACACUCGAUCGCUAGUCCUUAUUUACGACCCAAACUACACAUACAUUACAAAAUCACACAACUUGACGAAUGUUUCCACCGAGCUCCUUCCUGCUCUUGGCAGCGACGCCGACGUUUUGCACCAUGGUGGCCGUGAAAUACCACGCCACGAUGUCGUGUCUGGCGACGACUUGCCCCGUGGAGGCGGAGAGCCCGACUUGGACCUGCUCAGGAAGGAAGCCGCUCAAAUCGUACACAUAGCUGACCUCGAACGCUUUCGAGCCGGCGGUGACGUGGACGUCGAUCAUCUUCGUGGCGGCGGCGUAGUUGAUCCUUGCCGUCACCUGCUGCCCGAUUAUGGAGCCGUCGACCUCCGUCGUGUUGCCGGAUGACCUAGAGCCGAUGUCGAUGCCGAUGUGGGGAUAGUUCGGAUCCCACGCGCCGUUGACGUAGGUGUCGAACUCGACGGCGAAGACCGAGGGGCUGCUGCCGGAGGAGCCGAAGAUUCCGAGGUUGGAUCCGCUAGAGGAGGAAGGGAUGGUGGACCCGACGGGGGCGAUGAAGAAGGCGAGGCCGUCGGCGGCAGAGUUGCCGGGGCCAGGUGUGAUGAUGAAGUUUACGGUGGUUUCAAAGUCGACUUGGCCGCCGGUUUGUGAGAACUGGACCGGGUUCGAGUACAAUACCCGGCCAACUUUGGCGGUCUGUGCGUCGGUGAGGCGGAGGAAGGUGGAGUCCGACGGGAAAUGGGCGUCGCCUUGGUAGGUGAGGUCGGUCGGCUGGUCGCCCCAGAAGUCGUAGGUGAAGGACGUCGAUUGGGACUGCGCCACGUUGGCGGCGGCGAGGAGUAGGGCGACGGAGGAGAGGAGAGGAAUUAGGGUUUGGAGAAGCUUGGCCAUUGCUUAAUUGAUUUGGAUGUGGUGGAUGAUGGUGAUAUGUCUUAAGCUUGCACUCCUAUAUAUACUAGUGUAGUUCAUGCAUGAUAAUGUUGUUUAAUCAUCAUAUAUUUUAUUUCAUUAAAAUGAAUCACCUCGUCCAUUCGAGGUAAAUGAACCAUGUGAUCUUAUGUACUACCAGCCACAUUUUAAUUUGCUCGUUGGAAUAUUAUCUAUAGUUGUAUCUAUUGUAUUUGUAUAAAUGAUUUUUGGAAGGGAACUUAGAAAAAGUUCUUGAUAGGGGCUGUAUUUUUUAAUUUCAAGUGCAAAAUUAAGUUUUGAUAGACAAUUUACUUAUGAUUCAAUUUAACGAUCGGGUUUUCUGAAAAAAAAAAAUUCACACAAAAAAUCGAUUAUUUAAUAAUUUUAUAAGAAAAAAGAAGAAGAAGAAAUUUUCUAUUUAGGAUAUACACGAGCAGAUGAGAUCCUCUGUCCCACUAUUUUGUGUGUACCACCAUGUACCAUUCUUAAUUUAUUUAUUUUAGUAAUUAUUUUUUAUAAAAAUAAAAAUUAUUAUUAUAUUUUUUAUUUUCAUUUAAGUGAGUUACUAGAUUUAUUUGGGGUGAGCACAGGUUAUUUUGGAAAAGGAGAAUAUCUGUAAGAUGAUGUGAAAAUUAUUCAAUAUAAGCACAUAUAGGGGUUGAGUUCUCAAAGGAACUUAAUUAAUAUCCAAUGUGAUUGAUACAUUUCGACUAAAUGGAUGGACUGUGACGCCCCGACCAAAAGUAAAGAGUGAUUGUGAUCGGUGCACAAGGCAUGGAUGAAAAGCGGUUCCUAGUAAUGCUUCGAUACGGAGGAUACAUGAAUGAAUCGAAACACACCAGAAAGAGAGGGAUUCCAUGAGUACGUACGCAGGUAUAUGACUGCAUAUUCGAGGAGCUUAAAUAAUUUUAUUGGUGUUACUCAUAUCAACAAGAUGCAUCUUCUUUUUUGGUGACCAUAUGAAAUAAACUCCAAGGUUAAGCGUGCUUGGCGUAGAGCAACUUGAUGAUUGGUGACCUCCCUAAGAAGUUUAUCAGAAAGCGUGCUAGUAAGAACAAAACAUGCUAGAAAAGACUCAUAUUAGUCUGUGGGGACAGCCGUUAAAUUUGGAUUCGGGUCUUUACAAGUGGCAUUAGAGAUUAACCUCUCACAGUAUGGUGCGGUUCGGGAACGAACCAAGCGGAAGUUGGUACUCAAUAUUCCAUCUAUUGUGAGUUUCUUUGUCUUCUUCAUCUUUCUUUUACUCUGCUGUCGAGUUUCAGAGAGUAAUCAGAUAGGUUUUCAUUCGAGUUGAGUUUCUUGAGUGAUAAACUGUUAAUUGUGAGUUUCAUUCGAUCAUUUGUUGAUUAUAAAUAUCUGCACAUGGAUAUUGGUCAAUUUAGAUACACUGAUCUUCAAAUUGAUUGACGAAUCUUUAGAAUUCAAAAUUUAAAUCAAAUACGCGUGUUCAUAGUUAAUUGGUAAGUACACUUUUUUUUNAUAUAAAUAUAAUUGACUCGAGAUCUCUGCUACUUACGCAUACUUCGCUCGAGACAAAAAUAAAUAAUUGAUCAUUGAGAACUCCGCUACCACACCAUACUCGUGUACUAUUUAUCAUUGUUUAUGAUUAUUAAUAAAGACGUGUCUUUGCCUGAUAAAUUUAAUUUUCAUACUCUUGAUUCUUUUUUGGCCAUAUCAUUUUUUAAAAAAUUGGGAGGGGAAUGGUGGAAAUUGAAUAUGAAAAAUACCAGUCAAAUGAUACAUGUGCACUUUCAAAGACAAAACAUAAAUGUAACCUUCGUUUGUAAAACAUAGAAAUUCUACCAUAUAUUUGUGAUUAUUUUACCUUUAUACGAUCUAUUUAUAUAUAUUUAUUAGAAUUAAUAAAAAUAUACUACAUUCGUCCACGAAAAAGAAUCUCAUUGUGUGCUGGAUGUGAGUCGUAUCGAGAGUGAGAGGGAACACAUUGUCUCCGGUCUCUGCCGUCUUGGCGAGAUCUUCGGCAUUGGCCUGAUCCGGCCGCUGAGGUGGCCGGUAGGUCAUCCAUGGAGUAUGGCUAUAUUCAUACUCGUAUCCCAUUUUGGUUGUAGAACAAGAAGGCGGUGUUGUUGAAAUCGUCGUCGUUGAUAUCCUUUGGAAAACCGGCUGGGAUAGUUUUCGCCAUUAGAGUGAUGUGCGUAGAAGAGAGGAUCUUCCGGCGGUCUUCGCGGAAACCGUUGUCGCGUGUCCAUAGUUCAUGGAUUGAAAAUAUGCAGGUAAAGCACCCGGCGUACUCGGCCAUACAAUUAACUCGCCAUCAUGAGCUAUAAUUCUAUUCGAGUAAGUUCAAUCUCUAAUGAAUUAAUAUAUUUUUAUAAAUAUAUAAUUUGCAAAAUAACCUUAAAAUAAAAUAUGUAAUAAGGGUAAAAUAGGCAAUCCACAUGUUGUGCUCAAUGCUCUUUUUAUAUUACUAGGAGAAAGAUAAUUAAUGUUAUUUUAUCUAAUAAAAUAAAAAAUAUAAAUAUAAUAUUUAUUAUAUUUAAAUUUUUAAUUAACAAUUUUGUUUAUUUAAUUCUCUUAUCUCUUACAAUAUUUUUUUUUAGAAAAUCUAUUAGUUCAUUACUUCGACUAAAUAUAAUUUAUUGGAUAGAUAUAUUUAUUUAUAAGCCUUAUCAAUAGCUAUAGAUAUAUAUUACAUAGAUUUAAUGUAAUAUUUAAUGAAUCAAUAGCUCUUUUCUUUUAUAUUAGUAUAGAUUAUAUAGAUAGAUAUAUAUAGUGCAUGCAUGAUAAUGUUGAUUGAUCAUCGUAACUAUAUAAUUUAUUGCACUAAUAAUGAAUCACGUUCCCACUCGAGGUAUAUAAAAUGAAUCAUGUGACCUUUUCUACUACCCGACACAUUUUGCUCCUUGGAAUAUUAUUUAUAAUUGUGUCUAUUGUAUAGUGCAUGCAUGAUAAUGUUGUUUAAUCAUCAUAAAUCUUCAUGGCUCAUCCACCUCAUCCAAUCGAAGCAUAUAAUGAACCAUGUGAUCAUAUCUACUACCUGACACAUUUUGCUUCUUGGAAUGCUAGCUAUAAUUGUAUCUAUUGUGUGAAUGUAAGCAAAAGGGCGCGCACAAUUUUUUAUUUUUUUUUGGAUAGGUGACUCGCUCAAAAUACCUAUUGAAUUGACUCGUAAUCGCACGAGGUCAUUCUAGCGUAGUAAGCUAACCCAUGUCGUAUCUCACAAGGAAGAUUAAGCAGGACGACUAAUUUUGGAUUAUUUUUAAUCAAAUGUUGGAUAUUUUUUAAUUAGAGUAAAAUUAAAAUAAGUAAAUUAUUGUAUAUUUUCAGAUUCGGAAACUAAUGGCUUUAUUUUAAUUUAAUCAUUUUCAUAUGUCAGUUAUAUUAUGUAAAUGACGUUUUUAGUAACAAACAAAUGACAUUUUAAUCAAUAAAUGAUACUUUUAUCAAUAAUAAAUGAAACCAUAUUAAGGUAAAUAGGGUAAAGGUUAGACUUAACUGUGAAAGCAUCAUGAGUUUUAUGUGUAACAUUUUCGGUGUGAAAAUUGAUGAGUUAAAAAAAAUGCUCCAUAUUGAAUUCGACAUUAGAUGAAUCUACAGUAGAUUUUCAUGCAUGAUCUAAGAGCUGAAAAUGAUUCACGGUCUAUAUUUAUUCUAUCAAAUUCCAUAUCACUUUAAAUCUCAAAUUACAUUUGCACUAUAUAUGAUUAUAUCCUAAAUUAUCAUAAAUAUGAACCGCUUAAAUCUGGCGUCGUUGCACCGCGGACAUCUUGCCGCUGCUUUCUCCCACCAUUGCCCUUGCUGCCCUCAUCUUAGGUGCCAAUUUUUUGCUCGUCGUGCAGAAUUUGAAAGGGGUAAAUUAUUUUUUCAAUUUUUUAUUGCAUUUUGCUGUCUAAGUUGAUUUCUCAAGUAAAGUGGACUUGGGUUUUGUUUCGAUUAUAGCUGAAUUCGAUGGCGCUGUGUGGUUAGAUCUGUAAUUUUGACGUGUUGUUGAAGUGUGCGGGAUUGAAUGUGAUCUGGGAGAAUUUAAGGGUUUUGGGACGUUAGUAUGAUGAUGGUGGGAUUUGAAUGAAUUUGAAUACCAGAUUAUGGUUGAUGUUUAAUUAUGUGAAUCUUGCGAUCUGUGUUGAAAUUAAUGUACAGUAUCUUCGCCUAGCCGGGGGUUCACCAUUUGGUUCCCGACCGUCCUGCUGCCUUCACUCCACACUCAAGUGCCAAUAUCUUCUUCUCGUUUCUCUUCCUUCUUCUUCUCCUCUUAGUACCUGCAAGACAGAAGGAAAAACCAGCAAGUAUAAAGAAAAAUCAGAAAACUUAAAGAAGUAAAGAAAGAAAGAAAACAAAGGAAACUCGAGGUGGGAAAAAGGUGUCCUCGGGACACAGGUGGCUCAGAUUUUUCCCACAGUGGCAACACACUCCGGCAGCUCAAAGACCACGGCACAAAGGGGAAGGGAAGUCAGAUCGGAGCUCAAAUCUGACGAGCACAGCCACCAAUAAUCAGGAAUCCGGUGGACAGGAUUCCGGCGGCUCAGAAAUCCUUCGCUUUAUCACCAAACAGGAAAUCUAAGGUCAGCAAUCCGACAAUAAUGCUAUCAACAGGAGGAAGCUCUCACUUUACGGCCACAACACCGGAAACCAGAACGGAAACCAGAGAACAGAAGGAAUAGCAGAGCCUUCAAGGUUGUGAACAUACUACAGAACUUCCCCCAAUCGAUUGCUUUAUAACCGAGACAGAGAAGGGUCGGGAAGAUGUAGUGGGCUUUGGGAAGGAGGAGGAAGCCAUUAAUGGUGGUGGAGCUCGAGGGAAAGCGAGAUCAGCAGUCGUGAAGACUUAGGGUUUGGGAGGGGAUUUGAGGUGGAGCGGCGGAGGUUGAAAUGAGGGAAAGGCCGAGUGAGAGAGGGAGUAUUUCAGUGGAUAAUGGGCUAGGGUAUUUUUGAGUUAACGGGCUAUAGGUGUCUGGGCCCAAAAGUUGGGCCAGAGAAGGGAUAAAGAGCAUUGGGCCAACAUUCCACAAUUAAGACAAUUAAGAGUAGAAAUUCUUCUUGAUUUGCUAAUUUAUUUAGGAUUAGCGAUAUUAGUUUGGAGUUUUAGAUGUCGAUUGAUUUCGUGAUCUUGAUUUAUGUGAUAAAUGCCUCUCAUCACUAAGAUUUGGAAUAUAUUGGAUAUCUAGGAUAGUGAUAUUAGUUUGGAGUUUUAGAUGUUGAUGUGUCUUUUUAGGCUGCGUUUACUUUGAUGGAUAAAUUUAUAUAUGGAAAAGGAUGGAUAACACAAAUUUAUGCUUUUAAAUGUCUCCUUCCUCUUCCAACAUUUGACACAAAAAGAGAUGCUCGCUAUUUUUUCUUCCUUAUCUUCACUUCAAGGAUGGAUAAUAUUAUCCCUCCAUUUUGGUGUGAUAAUAUUAUCCAUCAUUGAAGUGAAGAUAAGGAAGGAAAAAUAGUAGAGCAUCUCUUUUUGUGUCAAAUGUUGGAAAAGGAAAGAGACAUUUAAAGGCAUGAAUUUGUGUUAUUCAUCAUUUUCCAUAGAUAAAUUUAUCCAUCAAAGUAUACGAAGCCUUAUGUGAUAAAUGCUUUUUUAGGGGGGCCCACGGGCAUGCUGCCCCAUAUGCUAUGGAGUAUGGACCAUGGUGGCUCGGUCACUGCGCUCUCGAUUGCGAAUUAUUUUGCAUUAUCUUUGUUUGUUUUUCUUAUAUUGGGAAAGAAAACAUAGAGUAAUAUAUAUUUUAGAAGUCCAGUUACCAAUGUCGUCAAUCUCGAGUGAAAAUAAAUAUUACCAUAACACAAAAAUGACAAAGCUAUUGAUUAGUGACGAUAUGUUAGAAGUUCAGAUAAACAACACAUUUAUUCUUGUGUAUAUUAUAUUAACGUUUAUUAUAUAUUAUAAAAAGAACAUAUUCUUUCAAAAUUAUCUUGUCUAUUUUUAGAAGUUCAGAUAAACAACACAUUUUCAGAAGAAAUUUAAUAAUCUCUUACGAUUUACAUAUAAUUUUUAAAUAAUUAAUUAUCUCAGUGGUGAUAAAAUAAAAAAACGAAGUAAUUUAUUAUAUACAAAAUAUUAUGAUUUAUGUUUGUAUAUUAUUUGUUUCCAUUAGUGCAUUAUCAUUUCUAAGUAUCUUCUCACUUGUUCACUGAUUCACUAUUGGAUUAACAUGAAUAUACGAAUUUCAUAGUAUACCAACCGUUCGAUAAAAGUCCUCAAAGAAAUCUUCCAUAGAUAACCUUGCAAAAGUACGUGUAUCUAUAUUAAUAGAAUAAGAGCCUAAGGAAUCUUAAAACACAAUUUUUGGAUUGCCUAUUUUACCACUAUUAUAUAUUAUUUUAAAAUUAUUUUACAUAUUAUAUAUUAAUAGGAAUAUAUUAAUUCAUUAGAUAUUACACUAAAUCUAUGUGAUAUAUUUCUAUAGCUAUUGAUAAGGCUUAUAAAUAAAUAUAUAUCCAUCUAAUAAAUUAUCUAAUAAAAGUAAUGAAUUAAUAGAUUUUUUAAAAUAAUAAAUUAUCAAAUAAAAUAACAUUAAUUACACACGUACGUUCUUUCUGCUAGCUAGUUAAAUAAAAAGAAGAAGAAACUGAGACUGAAAAAGGGAGAAUUAAGAUAGUCCAUUAUUAUCGUCUUAUUUUUAGAACUUAAACGAGAGAAAAGUCCAUCGCUAGUCCUAAUUUACAACACAACACAACACAUGAUAAUAAAUUUAAAUCACACAUAUUGCCGGAUGUACCCUUCCUCCUCUUUGCCGGCGGCGGCAUGCACGAGGGUGGACGUGAAAUACCACGAGACGAUGUCGUGCACGGCGUCUUGGCCUCCGGUGGCCGCGGAGAUCCCGACCUGAACCUGCUGAGGAAGAAUGGCGCUCAGGUCGUACACAUAGCUCACCUCGUAUGUUUGCGAGCCGGCGGCGAGGCUCACGCUGAUCAGCUUAGUGGCUUCCAGGUAGUUGAUGCGCGCAGUCACCUGCUGCCCGAGCAACGCGUUGCCGACGUUGGUCACGUUUUUGGAAACAUUAGAUUCGAUGUCGAUCCCGAUAUGGCGAUAGCUAGGAUCCACUCCGGGGUUGGAGAAGACGUCGAAUUCCACGGCGAAGACGGCGGGGCCGACGCCGGAGGAGUUGAAGAUUCCGAAGCAGCCGCCGGUGAAGCCGAGGGGUAAGCCGACGGGGGCGAUGAAGAAGGUCACGCCGUCGGCGGGGUUCGUGUCGCCUGCGUUGGGGGUUACGGCGAACGUCAGGGUGGUCUCGAAGUCGACCUGCGCGCCGGCCUCCCAGAACGUGAUCGGGGCUGAGUACACGGCCCGGCCGACGCUGUACUGGACCGCGCUGCCGGAGCUGGUGGUGUUGGUCAUGCGGAGGAAGGUGGAGUCCGACGGGAAGUGGGCGUCGCCUUGGUAGAGGAGAUCGGUCGGCUGGUCGCCCCAGAAGUCGUACGUGAAGGCUGUCGAUUGGGACUGCAUGCGCCGUGUUGGCGGCGGUGGCGAGGAGGAGGGCGAUGGAGAUUAGGGUUUGGAGAAGCUUGGCCAUGGCUUAAUUGAGUUAGUAGUAUUUGCUUUGGAUGUGGUGUGAUGAUGGUGUAUUGGUGUUAACUCUUGCUCCUAUUUAUGCUAGUAUAGUGCUUGAAUGAAAAUGUUAUUUAAAUUAACAUCAUAUUUUUUAUUACACAAAAAUGACUCACCCCAUCUUCUCGAGAUUAACUGAACUUGUGAUCUCUAAUAAUUUAUAACCUACCACAUUGUAGUUGUUGGAGUAUACUCCCUCUGUCCCGGUUUUAGCACGAGUUUUAAUAAAUUGGUUGAUUGUAUUAUGAGUAGAAUAAGGAUAAUAUUUUUUAUGGAAGUGUUAAAAUAAUUAAAAUUGAGAAAAUGUUUCACCUAUUUUUAUUAAAAAUAGAAAUGAAUUUUAAAAUAUGGGACGACGGCCAGAAAAAGAAAAUAUAUAUGGAUACUAAAAGUUGGGACGGAGUGAGUAUUAUCUAUAGUGGUAUCUAUUGUAUGAGUACAAGAGAUUUACUUGACUUGUUGAGGUAUGGAGAGAUUAUUACAAACCACGUGAAAUUGAGUUCUUGCUCCCACUGUAAAAGCAAUAAAUAUAGGGAAAAGAAAAUUAAUACUUCCUUCGUCCAAGAAAUGAGUACACAUAUUUCUUUUUUAGUCCGUUCAUGAAAUGAGUACUCAUUAAUUUUUCUUUUUAUCAAGUGUACCUCACACAACCCUUUAAUUAAUUAAUACCUUUAAAAAGUGGGUCCCUUAUUCCACUAACACCACACUCAAUCAUUUCUUAAAACCUGUAACGUCCCCAAAUGAGAUUCAUUUCGUGGAUUGAGUAAAUUCUAUACUACAAAUUAAUGGUUCGAAUUCACUUUAAAAAAUAAACUACAAUUAAGAGUCCCUCUCUUAAUUGGAAUUCAUAGACCAUCUGCUUCAGUCGUGCCCGAAGACAGAAAAGGUUUGGAUUGGAAUUCAUAGGUGGCUAGGGAAUAAAAGCAGUGUGGCCUCAAUCAUUGAAGCACACUUCGAUUUGUUCACAAAUCUUGACAAAGGAAAGGAAGGUCGAUUUUUCUAGCGACAGUAUGGGUCUAUACCAUUUGGUUGCUGUGGAAAUGACGUAACGAGAGCAGAUUUGAGGGCAAGACUUGGGAGAUCAAUGACGUGAUCGAAGAAGUGAAAGUGAGGAUGUGGAGUUGGAACAAGAUUUUUGGACUACAUGUUAAAGAGAUUAGCUCUCAAUCUUGGUUUUCUUGUGAAACUCCUCUUGUUUUGUGUAAUUUGGUCGUAUCUCUGGUACCAAACUCUCUCCUAAUAAAAUUUCUUUUCUGAUUAAAAAAAAAAAAAAGAGUCCCUCUCUUAAUCAAGUAGACUGGAUGCGGUAAGAGAGAAAUCACUUCCAACUUAUCGAUUUUACUAGCAACAACUAGAUUUAUACUGAAGCUAAAUUGGAUCAGACUCUAGGAUUCACUAGUCUUUUACUCAAGGUGAGUCGGUUUACGAGUCUCAAACUCAAGGUGAACUAGAAUGUCUGUCAAUACGAACGUUGGGAGUUCGAGGGUUUUUUAGGACAGUAACUUAGAUUGAUUUGGAAAUUAGGACAAUAACUUUCGGACUUGUAAAAAUAGGACUCUAAUUCUUUUUAAGAGUAAAAUAGGACACUAAUUAAUAAGUGUUACAUCCGCAGGACAUUUUUCGGCCAAUUAUCGGCCGAGAAAUGUCCUACUUUUACGACGCUUAUUAAUUAGUGUCCUAUUUUUACAAAUUCGAAAGUUUUGUCUUAAUUUUCAAAUCAACAUAAGUUAUUGUCCUAAAAAAUCCCCUGACUCCGAACGUUGGAACAAGCUCGGCAAUAUACUGCUAUUCAACAUUAAUGGCACUUUGCACUAAAUGAAUUGGUGUCGAAUUAAUACAUCGUCUUGCUGCUCAUAUCUAUAUAAUAAAUGCAUACCUGCACCUCGAUAUUAAUCAAUUUAGAUACACUAAAUCUCGGAUAUACUUAACAAAUGGAUUAAUAAAUGUAUAAAUUUUAGAUUUCAGAAAAUCAAAUACAGGUGUUCAUAAGGAAAUGAUUAAAAACCCGUGUGUCAUUUAGAUAAGAUUAUUAUAGUACAGUUAACGAUGGUGAAAUAUUCUUUUACAUUAGAUAUAAUAGCAUUCCAGAUCUCAAUGGCAUUUUUUGUUAUAACAAAAAAAAAUUGUAUAUGUUCCAUACUAUCCUCAAACUUCAAAUUAUUAUUUUUCUUUAUUUUAAAAUUUGUAUUGGCACAUAUCUGUCAAUUAAUCAAAUUCAUAUCAAAACAAUAAUUCGAAUGAUAUAUUAGUUGGCUAGCUAUAAAUUACAAAUUAUUAGUGAUUAGGCAUGUUUUACACAAAUUAUUAGCCCAAACAACAUUUGAUUGUGUGCAAUGCACACACUUACUAAAAGCAGAUGUGAUCAUCUGUCCCACAAUUUAGUGUGUAUCACCGUGUACCAUUCUUAAUUUGUCUAUUUUAUAAUUAUUUGUUGUAAAAAUAAAAAAAAUAUUGUUAUAUUAUGAACUCUAAUUAAAAUUUAUAACUAAAAAUAAAAAUUAAAAAAAAUUAUAUACCCUAACUUUGAAUUAAUUAACCCAAAUAAUCAAUUAUUAAUUCAAAUAAAUAUAAAAAAUAAUUAUAAACUCUAAUUGAAUGAGUGAACCCUUAUUAAUUAGUUUCUUAUUAUAUUAUAAUAAAUUAAAAUUGAAGAAAAUAUAAUUAUAUAUUAUAAUAAAUUAAGAGUGGUACACGGUGGUACACACUAAAUUGUGGGACAGAUCCAUGUGCACUAAAUUAUAGGUACGGAGGUGCGGAUGCGGGGGCGAUACGAUACGAGUACGGGGAUACGGGUUCUAAAAAAUUAUAGGGUGCGAUUCGGCAAGGAUACAUCUAAUUAUUAAAAUUUUAUGAUAUACUAAUUGUUAGAAAUGGAUAUUGGGCCAAUUCCUCCCUUAAAAGGCCUUAUAAGGGAGAGGGUUACCUCACCAUAUAAAGUGGCUCAUGCCACUAUCUCCAAUCCAAUGUGGGACACUUCAAUACUAAUGCUUAUAAAAUAUAUACAAUUUAAAUUUUCUUAAAUUAAUUAUAUGUAAUUUACAUUUUAUUUUACCCAAAAGUUAAGCAUUUUCAAUUAUAUAAGUUAAUUGAGCAACAAUAUAACGAUUCAAAUAUUAUUAGUCCAAUAUAUAAGUCAUAACUGAAAAUAAAAUUAUCAAAAUAACCUUGUGUAGGCCUUUCGUGCACGAGAUACGUGAAUUUCGCCUAUGGAAUUUGCAAAUCCGGUUUAUUUUUAUAAAUUGUUUUAAAAGAUACGCACUGGUGAAUCGGUGCGAAUCCGACAAGAAUUCGAGAAAUCACACCCUAAAAGAAUCCGAUUCGCCGUACAUCUAAUUUUUGAAGAAUCCGUGCAUCAUAGGUGAGAAGAAACACAAGAGAGUAAAAUGGUACAUAAUGUAGAAAGACUUUUCUCCAAAAUAAAUGUUACAGUCUUCUAAUAGUCGAAAGGCGCAUGAAAAUGCGCAGUUAUUCGAAAGAAAGGAAAGGCUUAUUCAGCCACACAAUGACAUGGAAUUCGAAUUGAAAUUGAAAUUCAGACAAAUCCCAAACACGGUGAUGCAGAGAUCAAGCGGUAACACGAGGAAUGAUCUUAAUACCACCGAUGGUAACUUCGUCGCCGUUAAUGUGGGGAACGAUGGUGACGACAAUGAAAUCAUCAUCAGCAAUAUUGAUGUUCUCAUAGAGCUCCCUCAAGUUCAAGCGAAGGUCGUUGGCGCUUUCCGCAGCCCUAACCCUAUGCGGAAUCUGCGUGAAACUGCCGGCGAACUCGGCCCUGGCGAGGUCCUCUGGCUUGUCGUCUUCGUCAUUCACGAACACAUCGAACCUCACGAGCUUCGAACUAUCGGUGAUUAUGUUCUCCAGCACGAGCACUUCGUCGGCUUUGCCUUUGGUUGGUUUGGGCACCAAAACCCUGUGAGUCUUGUUGAGAGUGAGAGGGAACAGAUUGUCUCCACUCUCUGCCCUCUUGGAGAGAUCUUCGAUAUUCACCGGCACCUCCCUCCGCGGUGGCCGGUAGGCUGUCCACGGAGUUUCGCUGUGUUCAUACACGUAUCCCAUUUUGGUGUGGUCCAAGCAGUCGGCCACCUUGACGCGCACGAGGUUCUUCUUCUCGUCGUAGAACAUGAACGCCGCGUUGUUGAAAUCGUCGGGGUUGGGGACGACGAGGUCGUUGAUAUCCUUGGGGAAAACGGAUGGGAUAGUUUUCCAUAUGGUCCACAUUCUGUCGACGUUAGCGUGAUGUGCGUAGAAGAGAGGGUCUCUUCCGGCGGAGUAGAAGUUCCCCAUGUCUUCGCGGAAAUCGUUGGCGGGGUUUCCGGUCCAGACGUGGACGCCGCCGUGUGAGCCGCCCUCCGACAAUCCUCCCUUGGCGCGUGGCGGGGGCAAGUCCCCGGAAACGUAAGGAUCGCCCAUGAAGUCGAUGGCGGAUUCGACAUCACCAAUCAUUUCCUUGUACAUCUGAGUGAGAUUGUUUUCGAUGAUCGUUACAGGAUCGGUGAUCGGGGGGGUGGUUAUGGCAAGAGCAACGAGGGCCGGGGGGCGAUGCGUUGGGUCGCGGUUGACGUCGUAGAGCGGGGAUUCUUCCCUGUCGAACGGCCUGGGCAUCUGCAUACCCCUAGGGUUGUCCCAGUUCCAGUAGGGCAGGGCGAAAUCGGGAUCUCCGAUGAGUUCGCCCAUGAUCCUCUCGAAGAAAUAGAGGUACCACCUGUGGAAGGGGUGGAUCCAGAAUUUGUCAUUAGGAGGGACUAAAUUUGUUGAAGCAUGACGUCUCAAAUUAUUAGCCAAUUUUUUUUAGCAUUCCAUACAGUUCAUUUUUUUGUCGAACUACAUUCGAUUAAUUCAACAACAAGAACAUUGAAAGCAUAUAAAUACUUACCUCUCAAAAAUUGUUUCAUCUUCUAAGAAGAUAAGCUAAUUUUCAUCAUGGCAGUUCAUAAUUUUAAUUUAACUUGAGGAUUGACUCAAAUUCAACACUGAGAAUCAACUAAGAAAGGAAAGUAGACAAAAAUAACAUAAAUUUAACAAACUAACAUAUCAAAUUUAAAUCACUAUAAAAUAUUAAACAGUUAAAACGUGGAUACUAUAAUUAAUAAAACAAUGUAUUUUAUUAUCUCUUGUAUUUCUUAUCUAUACUAAUAGAAAAAGAGUCUAAGACAGUCUAAGGCACAACUUGUGGAUUGCCUAUUUUACCCUUAUUAUAUAUUUAUUAUUAUAUUUACAAAAUAUAAAUCUAUUUUGAUAAAUAUUUAUUUGUCACUCAAAUCUAUAAAGAAUACUUUAUAUCUAUAGCUAUUGAUAAGGCUUAUAAAUAAAUAUAUUCAUCCACAACGUACGUUCUUUCUGCUAGUAUAUAAUAAAAACAAAAACAAAAAACUCAAAAUUUGGGAGGCGGUCGAUCCGCUGCUAACCUGUGGAAAGGGAAGAAGAUCCAUGAGUUGUGAACCUGGAUAUCGAUGCCGGGGUGGUCCACCUGGUCGUAGGGGCCGUUGCAGUAAGCGCAGUGGAUGUUGGCCUGCUGAGUGAAGCCACGGGGAUCGUCGGGGUCCGUCACGUCCAGUUCCUUCAUCUUCUGGAUGGCCAACUCAUACUUGCGUACGUAUUCCGGUGUCAGCCUGUGCGCCGCCGGCCUAACGCGAGGUUUAGUGAACCUCGGAAGCUUGUAGUCGCUCUGAACGUCGGUGUAGGGCGGGCAGCAGUUGACGUCUAGAGAUAUUACCUCUUGGUUUCGAGUGGUGUAGGCACCUUCGGGGUCGCAGGUGCUCAGGUCAGGAGGCAAAAUCGGAAGCGCCUCAGCUUUGCGGAUGGCGCUGCCUGCGCCGUAUAGACCGCCCAGCCCAAGCAGCAUGUUUCUGCGGUCUAUACGGCCGCUGCCACCGCCACCGCUGCUGCAUGACACCUGAAAGCGGCCGUGGCUCCGCCGGCUGCUGAGCUGGGAGGGCUUGCGAAAUGGGGAGUUGGUGGCGGCGGCGAUCGCCGUGAAUGAAGAUUGAAGGGAAGCCAUGUUUGAGUGAUUGAUUGAUGGUCGUUGUGAUUACCUGGGGAGGCAUGUCUUUAUAUAGCAGAUGUGACACGAGUUUUAAGAAAAAUAAAUUAUCCGUUGAAUAAUUAAAUCGCCAUGUUUCUAUAAUUUAUUCCUAAUGGAUCUAGUCAAACUAAUCGUGCAAUAUUUAAUAAACCACGCAGCAUCAUUUCCGAGACUAAUAAAUGACAUUUUGAACCAGCUAAUCAAUUCCAUAUAAUUAACCAUUUGCGAGGCUGGCUGCCCUUCACUAAAUGGUUGUAUGCACUUGUCUUUGGAAAAGCUGUUUGGCCAUAUUAUGGCCAGUCAUAAUAUGGGAAAAUAUUAUAAAAGUCAUGUAUUUAAUUUUUUAUAUUUAAAAUAAAAAUAGGAUUUUAUUAGUUUUAUUUUUUAUUACAUAUUUUAGCUAUUUUUUUUUAUAAUUUUUCUGAAUUUUUUAGAAAAAUAAAAAAUAAAAUUACAAUGUGAACAAAAUUAUAAAACUAAUAAUGGUAGAGCAGCGGAGGGCACAGGUGAAGGGCAUGGCGGCGGUGUACUUAUUUUAGUCAAGUAAUUAUUAUUGCACGAAAAAAUAAUUAUUAAUAUAAAGAAAGAUAAUGUUUCAAAGACAUUAUCUUUCUUCAUGUCUAUUAAUUUUUCAUCACAAUAAUAAUUACUUCGAAUUAUCCGUGUUUUCAAUCGUGCGACCUGCACCCAGCCCGACCCGACCCGUUUCACCCAUAUAGUCAGUCUCACCCAAGUUUUUGCCUAAAGAUAAGUAUUAAUUAGUUGUGUAUGGUGAUAUGAGUCUUGUUUGUAUAAAUUAGUAGGCCUUUAAUAAUGAAUUGGCCCAUCUCAGGUGGUUUAUAUAAUUUACUCGUAUGGAUCUAAAUACAACUAAUCAUGAAAUAUUUAAUAUACCACGGAGCAUCUUUCUGAUAUACUAUUUAUAUAGUAAUUUAUUCCUAAUGGAUCUAAUCUCUGACUAUUUAAUAAUUAACUCGCCAUCGUUUAAAUAAUUUACUCCUUAUGGAUACACUCAAAGUAAUCGUGCAAUAUUUAAUAUACCACGCAGCAUCAUUUCUCAUACAAUAUUUUGGACCAUCUAACCAAUUACAUAUAAUUAAACCUUUUGCCAGGGUGGCUGUCCCUUCCACUAUAUGGUUGCAUGUAUUGAAUUGAAAUUUUAUUGAGGAAAAAAUGAAAAGAAAAACUAGGAAUUCAUUGAUAGCACGAAGACGCUAAUUAAGGGCUGAGCCUCAUCAAAACCUUUCCGAUAAAAAUCCAGUGAAAAAAACCACCAGCAAAGGAAAAAGAGUACCAGUCUAUUACAAUAAAAAAAUGAAGAACAAACUCAAGACAGGAACAACGAGAAGCACGAGAGGAUGAUAAAACAUCUAACCCGAAAAAAAAGACCCAAACCAAAGGAGCCUGACAAAUCCGGAGCCAGUACCAGCGCACCAGGAAACUGAAAAAGUUCUGGAGAAGCCACUUCGACCCAAGCACGCCAACCAUCCAAAAGAAACGACUACCACACCCACACCUAGGCCAAGAAAUAUAUAAUAUUGUGAAUAGUUCCCAUGGGAUCGAAACAGACCACCAAAACAAGAAAAAACCUCUAAGAGCAGACUACUCAUUGCCUGCCUGCCUAGUAUUCGAUGAAAUACCCAAACCAGAAAUCAUAGCAUAAAGCAAAAACCGCCACAGCUGGGGAGCGAAGAGCAGAAGGCCACCAAUAAGAUACAUUAGGAUUGCGCAAAGUCUGACAAAGAAAUCAGAAAACUUACCAGACCACUCUAGUUAAUGUAAUCUAUACAUGUCCGCACAUGAAAUUUGGUCAAGUUAGAUACACUAAUCUCAAAUCUAUUUAAUUAACAAAUUGAUUGAUUGAUAUUUUUUUCUGAGAGAAAUUGAUUGAAUAAUUUUUAGACUUCAAAAACUAAUAGUUAAUUGAUUGUUUAGAUAAGAUUAUUAUUACACUUUUAUAUAGAGAUAAUUAGUACUUGAGAUAUGUGCAAUUUACGCAUUCUUCUCUCGAGACAAAAUAAAUAUUAUUGACCAUUGAGAACUCUGCUACCACUACUCCAGUUCUAUUUAUUAUCAGUGUGCCCUCUCGCGCGCUGCACGGGUCACAACAUAUUUGAUUAUUUAAUUUUAGCUGUUUACGCAUACUUCGCUCGAGACAAAAAUAAAAUAAGAUUUAUUGAUCAUUGAGAACUCAGUACCACACCAUACUCGUGUAUACUAUAAUAUUUAUCAUUGUUUAUGAUUAUUACGUGUCUUCGCCGAUAAAUUUAAUAUUCAUUCCUUUAAUUUUUUUCUAUUGACAUUGGAAACUGUCUUGAUUCUUUUUUGGCCAUAUCAUAUAUUUAAAAAAUUGGGAGGGGAACGUGGAAGUUGAAUCUGAAAUAAGAAUCAAAUGAUACAUGUGUACUUUCAAAGAUAAAACGCAAAAUAUAUCAUUUUUUUGUAAAACAUAUAAAUUCUACUAUUUAUGAUUAUUUUAAAUUUAUAUAAUCUAUAUUUGUAUGUAUAUAUAUUCUCCAUUUGUUCAUGAAAAAGAGUCUCAUUGUAUGCUGAAUACGAGUUUUAAUAAAAUGGUUGUAAGUGUGAAAUAAAUGUAUAAUUUGUAAGAGUCUUUACAUUAGAUUAUAUUUUACUCUCUUCGUCCUAUUGAUAAUGACUCACUUUUCUUUUUCGUCUGUCUCAUUGAUAAUUGCAUGUUCCAAAAAAACUGAAACCAUUUGACCUCACAAAAUGUUGUGGGCUCCACUACUUUUUAUCACUUUUAUCCUUUAAUUACUAUUCUUAUUAAUAACCGUGUCGAACAGUAAUGAACUAUUAUCAAUGGGAGGGAGGGAGUAAUAUUUUAAUUUUGUUUGCUGCCACCACCACCACCACCACCACAAUUUAAAAAAAAAAAUCUACGUGAAUAUAGUAAUUAUUAGAACAAAAAAAUAACUAUAAUAAUAAUAUAUUAAUCCGUUAAUUAUCUAUACUAAUAUAAAAAGUGCAUUUGGCACAAAAUAUAUAUUGCCUGUUAUAUCCCUAUUAUAGUAUUUUAUUUGAAGGACAACUUUGUAAAUUAUAUAUUAUAUAUUUAUAAGAAUAUAUUAUUUCAUUAGAUAUUACACUAAAUAUAUUUGAUAUAUAUCUAGAUCUUAUGCUAUAAUUUUUUUUAUAUUAAUUAAUUAUUAUAUAUUGUGAUUUAAUAGAAUUAUACAACUCUAAUAAUUUAUAAAUGUAAAGUUCAGGGAUUGCAUGCAAUGCACACAUUCUAUGCUAGAAAAAAAAUAGAAUUCACUAAGCCGAUGAUAAAUAACACAUACAACGUACUAUUUCUGCUAGUAAAUUAAAAAUCUAUAUGAUUUUAUCUUCUAUCACUACAUUAAUUAAAAUCUAUCUUCCGUUUCAUAUUAACGGUGGUUUUUCAAUAUUUUUUAUAUUAAUUACUACAUAUUGUGAAUUUAUUACAAUUGUUAACCUCUAACAAUUCAUUAAUAUAAAGUUGAUGGAUUGUGUGUCAUGCACAAACUCUCCUGUACUCAUCUAAAAGACUCUAUAUGUGAGAAGAAACCGCAGGAGAGUAAAAUGGUACAUAACAUAGAAUAGAAAGACUUUCACAAAAUAAAUGUUACAUUCUUCCCGUAGUCGGAAGGAGCAUGAAAAUGCGCGGUUAUUCGCAAGAAAGAAAGGCUCACUCAGCCACACAAAACAUGGAAAUCCUAAACACGGUGAUGCAGAGAUCAAGCGGUAACACGCGGGAUGAUCUUAAUACCACCGAUGGUAACAUCGUCGCCAUUAAUGUGGGGAACGAUAGUGACGACAAUGAAAUCAUCAUCAGCAAUAUUAAUGUUCUCAUAGAGUUCCUUCAGGUUCAAGUGAAGGUCGUUGGAGCUUUCCGUGGCCCUAACCCUGUGCGGAAUCUGCGUGAAGCACCCGGCGUACUCGGCCCUAUCGAGCUUCUGUGGCGUGUCGUCUGCAUCAUUCACGAACACAUCGAACCUCACGAGCUUCAAGCUAUCGCAGAUUAUGUCCUCCAGCACCAGCACUUCGUCGGCUUUGCCUUUGGUUGGUUUGGGCACCACAACCCUAUGAGGCUUAUUGAGAGUGAGAGGGAACACAUUGUCUCCGGUCUCCGCCGUCUUGGCGAGAUCUUCGGUAUUGACCGGUUCCGGCCGCUGAGGUGGCCGGCAGGUCAUCCAUGGUGUAUGGCUAUAUUCAUACUCGUAUCCCAUUUUUGUGUGGUCCAAGCAGUCGGCGACCUUAACGCGCACCAGCUUCCUCUUCUCGUUGUAGAACAUGAAGGAGGCGUUGUUGAAGUCGUCGGGGUUGGGGACGACGAGCUCGUUGAUAUCCUUCGGGAAAACGGAUGGGAUCGUUUUCCAUAUAGUCCACAUUCUGUCGACGUUAGCGUGAUGUGCGUAGAAGAGAGGGUCUCUUCCGGCGGAGUAGAAGUUCCCCAUGUCUUCGCGGAAAUUGUUGGCGGGGUUUCCGGUCCAGACAGCCGCCCUCCGACAAUCCUCCCUUGGAGCGUGGCGGGGGCAAGUCUCCGUCAACGUAAGGCUCGCCCAUGAAGUUGGUAGCGGAUUCGACAUCACCAACCAUUUCCUUGUACAGCUGAUUGAGGUUGUUGGAGAUGAUCUGUACGGGAUCGGUGAUCGGGGGGUUGGUUAGGGCAAGAGAAACGAUGGCCGGGGGCCGAUGCGUCGGGUCGCGGUUGACGUCGUAGAGUGGCGACGCGUCCCUGUCGAACAUCGAGGGCAUCUGCAUGCCCCUAGGGUUGUCCCAGUUCCAGUAGGGCAGGGCGAAAUCGAGAUCUCCGAUGAAUUCGCCCAUGAUUCUCUCGAAGAAAUAGAGGUACCACCUGUGUAGGGAUGAAUCCAGAAUUUGUCGUUAGGGGGGCUAAAUCUAAAAGUAUUUGCAGUGGGGGCUCCCGUCCGCAAGACAAUUUUUUUUAACCAUUCCGUAUAGAUUUAAUUGGCUUAACAUUAGAAAUCAGUCACUUACUAUAAAAAAUAGUUGUUCGCAUUCCAUUAAUUCAACAACAAGUACAUUUAAAGCAUAUACAAACCUACCUCUGUGCAAUUUUUUAAAAUAUUAUUUCGACUUCUAAAAGAAUAAACUAAUUUUCAUUGUUAAUUAAUAGUUCAAAAUUUUAGUUUAUCUUGAAGAUUAACUCAAAUUAAAUAUUCAAUAUUACCUAAUUAAACAAAAAUGAGACAAAAAUAACACAAAUUUUUAACAAACUAACCUAGCAAAUCACUGUAAAAUGUUAAGCAAUUCUUUCUUGUAUUUCUUCUAUAUAUUAAAAACAAAAAAAUUAGGGAGGGGGCUUCAGCCCCCGUGGAUCCGCCACUAACCUGUGGAAGGGGAAGAAGAUCCAUGAGUUGUGAACCUGGAUAUCGAUGCCGGGGUGGUCCACCUGGUCGUAGGGGCCGUUGCAGUAAGCGCAGUGGACGUUGGCCUGCUGAGUGAAGCCGCGGGGAUCGUUGGGGUCCGUCACGUCCAGAUCCUUCAUCAUCUGGAUGGCUUUCUCGUACUUGGCUAUGUAUUCCGGUGUCAGCCUGUGCGCCGCCGGCCUCCUGCGAAGCUUUGUGAACGUCGGAAGCGUGUACUCUUCCUCGUCGUCCGUGUAGGGCGGGCAGCAGUUGGCGUCUAGAGAUAUUAUCUCCCCGUUUCUAGAAGUAUAGGCACCUUUGGGAUCACACUUGCUCAGGUCAGGAGGUGAAAUCGGAACCGCCUCAGCUUUGCGGAUGAGGCCGCUUGCGCCGUAUAGACCACCCAGACCAAGCAGCAUGUUUCUGCGGUCUACACGGCCGCCGCCGCCUCCAUCACUGCUGCACGACACCUCAAAGCGGCGCCUCCGCCUGCUGGCGAGCUGGGAGGUGGUGCGGAGGUUGGGGUUGGUCGUGGUCGCCAUCACCAUGAAUGAAGAUUGAAGGGAAGCCAUGCUUGAUUGAUUGAUGCUUGCAUUGCGCUCGAGGCAUGCAUGUCUAUAUAUAGUAGGCGUGGACACGAGUUUUAAGAAAAAUAAUGAUACUUAAUGGGAUUAUUUUCGAAAAUGAAUUAGGAAGAUGUUUUGGAGACGAAAAUAGAAAAUUGACCUUUUGCCAGGCUGCCCUUUCACUAAAUGGUUGUAUGCACUUAUCUUUUUUUUAUCUAUAAAGAGGUAUUUUCUCCAUUUAAAAAACUUAUCGAGGUAAUUAUGAAGACUAUUCAUUUUUAUCGUUGUAAAGUUAAUUAAAUUAUAAAAAUUAAAGUUGAUAAAGUUCUUAUUAAACAUCAUCGCUCUUCUGUCUUUGGACGACAAAAUUAAUUAUUUCAAAUAGAUAAAGAACUUGAUUUUCCGAUAUGGCUUCUCAUACUAAUUAAAUAAUCUAAUCCUAUAAUGUAUUUCAUAUAAAGUUAUCAAAUUAACAAUAUUCUGUGUGAAUUUUUUUGCCUUGAGUGUGUGUAUAGAGGUAGUCAGGGCCGGCCCUGAGGGUGGGCGGGCAUGGGCGACGGCCCAGGGCCCCAAAAAUUUGAGGGCCCAAAAUUUUUAAUAUAUCCUAUUAAUUAUAGAUCUUAUGUAUACUAACAACAUAGUUCAUCUAUUGAUUUUGGGCCCAACAUAAUUUAUUCUCAAAUUUAGAUCUAUACUUAAUAUAGAGAGUUUUCAAUUUGAAAUCAAUUUCAAAGUAAUUUCAAAAUUGAGUGACUAUUUUGUAGUUAUAAUAUUAAUAAAAUUGAAGGUUUAUGUUUAAACUAUAUAUUUUUAUUUUUAUUUUUAUUUUCAUUUUCAUUUUCUUUAACUUCUUAUUUGUUGUUACAUUUCUUUCCAAAAUUGUGAAAUUCAAUUAAUUAUAAAAUAUUUAAUAUGCAUAUCAAAUUAAAGAUCACAAUAAGAGUUUUAAUAUGAUAUAUUUUAUGAAAAAUAUUUGAUUUAAAAUGUAAAAUUUAUGCAUGUUCAAAUAUUAAAGUUUUAUAAAUUUCUCUCACCUCUCUCAUCUUUACGAAUAAAUAUAUUUUUAAUUCUUUUAAAUUAGUAUUUUAUUUUUAAUUUUUUUAACUUAUUUUUUUGUUUUUGUAUUUCAUAAUAUCAAAUUUUAUAAUUGUGAAUUCUUUUUUUAUUUUUUUUAAUAUUCAAUUCAAAUAUAUAUAAUUAAAAUUAAUUUUUUAUUAUAUUUAUAAGUAUAAUAAUUAAAUUAGUAUUAAUUUUAUAUAAAUAGUAAAAACAAAAAAUAUUUCCCGUGCAUGAGAUGCAAAUGGUAGUUGCACCUCGCCGCCGGUAAUAUAUUUAAGUAUAUAAAUUAAUUAAUAUUAACAAGGCGCCCGGUGAUCACCGGAGGCAUCCUUGCCGCUGGUAUUUCUGCCGCUACUUUGAAAAAUACGGCCGUCGGUAAAUCUGGCCGCAAAUUGUGUACGUUUUUUGGUAGUGGUAAUAUAUUAGGGCCCAAUUUUUUAAUUUCGCCCAGGGCCUCAGUUUUGUCAGGACCGGCCCUGGAGGUAGUUAUAGAAUUUAUCUUUUGUGUUCUCAAAGGAACUUAAUUAAGAUCCAAUGUGAUUGAUACAUUUCGACUAAAUGGAUGGGCAAGAUUCUUUUAACGCCCAAUAUUAAUUCCAUCUCAAAUCGGAUCUUAUAUAAUACUGUAUUUUAUAUAUUCUAUAAUGCAUUUUAUAUAUUACGUGUCUAUUAAAUUAACAUUGAUCUUAGGAGUGAUACAAGUUUAAAAAAAAGCUAGCUGUAUAUUUGGUGAGUAGAGAAGGGAUUUCAGAAAUUAGAAAAAAUGGUGAUAGGUAGUGGAAUUAUUUUAAAAAAUGGACUAAAAAGAUGUUUCAUGAACGAACGAAAAUGGCAAAAUAGGAAGAUGAGUCGUGGUCGGAGGAAAUAUUAUAAUGCAUCGUAUCCUUUUUUGGUUCGUAUAAAGAUUUUUAUUUGAUCCUCAUCGAGAACAUGCAUAUUGCGAAUACUUAAUUUAUUUCAAUAUAUAUAUAUUAAUUUAUUGGGAGCAUAUGCUAAAUAAAUUAAAUUAAUCCGAAUCAAAAGCGCUUAAUUAUCACUACAUUACAUGCAUUAUGACAAAAAGCCUGCGGCUAAAGAUCUUCAGUUUAAGUCUAUUGUCAUAUUGUUUUUAAAAUAUUAUUUAUCCAUUCCGCAUAUGGAUUGGUCAGAUUUAGAUACACAAAUCUCAAAUGUAUUUAAUUAACAAAUUGAUUGAUAAAUUUUAGAAUUCAAAAAUUAAAUCAAUCAAAUACGCGUGUCCACAGUCAAUGGAUUGAAAAUAUGCAGGUAUCUAGAUAAGAUAUAUUAUUAUUAUUAUUACACUGUUAACUAUACUGCAGUACACUUUUAUAUAUACAGACAUAAUUAAAAUAUGCAGGUAUCUAGAUAAUAAGAUUAUUAUUACACUAUUAACUAUACUGCAGUACACUUUUAUAUAGAGAUAAUUACUAGAGAUAUGUGCUAUUACCCAUACUUCGCUCGAGACAGAAAUAAAUACGAUUGACCAUUCAAUUAAACACUACGACACCAUACUCGUGCAUGUACUAACGAUCUUAUUAUAAGUGCACCUUCCCGUGCGAUGCACAGGUCAGUAGAAUUGUAAUCGAUAUUGAUGUGAAUAUCAUCAUAUUCGAUUCGUAUUUGUGAAAAUACUCUAAUAUUUGAUUCAGCAUUCGAUUCGAUCACGAAUACUAAAUACGAUCCCAUAUUCGAUUCGAUGUUAUUUUUGAAUUAUUUGAUACAUUUUUUAAAAUUAAUUAAAUAAUUUUUUUACGAAUAUUCGAUUCGUUUUCCAUCAUAUUCAAUUCAAAACUAUUCGAUUUGAAAUUCUGAAGGAAAAAAUAUGUUAAAUAAUAUUCUAAAAAAUAUAGGAUUAUAUCCAAUAUAUUUACCUAAUAAUUAAACACACAAUAAUAAAGUGUUCAAUUCAUAUUGUUUUAUGUCCCGUGGUUUGUUUCUAGGAUUGUGGUAAUAAAGACUGAUUGGAUCAGUCUAGUACAGUUGUUGUUUGAAUUUGUAAUUUUGUGUAACGGCAUUGUCAUCUUGUUGAGAUUAAUAGGAGUUAAUUUGUUUAAUUAAUUAUUCAUGAGUUUCUUAUAAGAUACCUUCCUUCGUUCCGUAAAAAUAGUCAUAAUUUUUCAUUUUAGAACGUCCAUAAAAAAAUAGUGUUAUUCCAUUUAUAAACAAUUUAGAUCCUUACCUUUGGGAUGAGAUAAAAUGAAAUUCCAUUUUAAAUCAUAAACUAGCUAUAUAGGAAGCAUUUUCAGCUCUUGAAUUCAUCUGUUGUUCGAAUUUCAUAGGAAGCAAGUUUUUUUGACUCAUUAUUUUCACAGCGAAUUCAUCAUGUUACACAUACCCUAAAGUGAUAUAUUUACCCUAUUUGAUAACAUGAUAAGUAUAUUUGAAGCGCUCACUAUUUUAUUUGAACUUUAUUAUCGAGUUUAAACGAGUUUUGAAAUAUUGAAUUAAAUUGAAAUAUCCAUGUUGAUCGUUUAAGAAGCAAAUUUUUGGCAUGGGUUUAUAAAAAAUACAUCCUAGCCUCCAUCCCUAAUAAGUGCGGUGUGAAGGAGUGGGCAAUAGUUCUUUAAAAAUAAUUGAGAGAUGUGUAUAAAGUGGAUAAAAUGGCUUACUAGAGCUGAUUUGUUAGGCCUUACUUUCUCUCUGCCCCACUAAAAUAAGCUCAAUUCUUUUGAGAACAUAGAUUAAUAAACUUUCUUUUGAGAAGAAAAUUAAAGUGGUGGCAAAAGUAAUGUGGUCCAUACCAAUUAAGCAAUUUGAGUACAUUUUUUUUUUCACUCAAAAGGAAAACGAGCCUAUUCUAGCGGGACAUUCCAAAAUAGAAAACGAGCAUAUUCUGCUGGGACGAGGGAAUAAUAAAUUGUUUGUGAGAUGAGUAGUUUGUAAAUAUUGUGUGUGAAAGGUGUAUGUCUUAAAUUGAAAAGACCAUACCUGUAUUGUGAUUGUACGGAAAGGUGGAACUGAGCAUCGCGGCGGCGGCGAGGCAGGAGGCGGCGGUGGUGAGGAGAAUCGAGAGAGAGAGAGAAAGAUGCCAGCAGACAGUGACGGAGGGCAGUGGGCGGCCCUUGGCGGCAGCGGAGACGACAAGGUACUGGCUGUGCCAGAAUUAUUUAGUUGCAUAGGAUCCUUCCAAAUGUAAUUACUGAUUCACUGUUGGAUUAACAAGAAUUAAAUUACUUCAUAAUACAGUAUUCCAACUGUUCGAUAAAAGCCCUUAAUGAAAUCUUCCAUAGAUUACUUUGCAAAGUUCAUAAAAUUACUCAAAAGCAUUGUUGCAUAGUCCGUACAUAGAGAUGGUCGAUUAUCUUAAUUAUGUCUAGAUUUAUUUACGACACACACACACACACAUCACAAAAUCACACAUACUGACUAAUAAGGUUCCCGAAAGCCGGCAUUAUUAGGCGCCAUGGUGGCCGUGAAAUACCAUGAGACGAUAUCAUGGGUGGUGGGUCCGUCUAGUCUGGUGGCGGCGGAGAGCCCUACCUGAACCUGCUAAGGAAGAAAGCCGCUCAAAUCAUACUCAUAGCUGACUUCAAACGUCUUCGAGCCGGCGGUGGCACGGACGGCGAUCUACUUUGUGGAGGCGGCGUAGUUGAUCCUCGCCGUCACCUGCUGCUCGAGUAUGGAGCCGUCGACCUCCGUCGUGUUUCGGGAUGACCUAGACCCGAUGUCGAUGCCGAUGUGGGGAUAGUUCGGAUCCCACGCGCUGUUGACGUAGGUGUCGAACUCGACGGCAAAUACCGAGGGGUUGCUGCCGGAGGAGCCGAAGAUUCCGAGGUUGGCCCCGCUGGAGCCGGUGGGGAUGGUGGAGCGGCGAGAUUGGUGAUGCUGGGUGUGGUGAUGAAGUUUACGGUGGUUUCAAAGUCGACUUGGCCACCGGCUUGGGAGAAUUGGACCGGGUUCGUGUACAAGACCCGGCCGACACUACCGAUCUGCGGUCGCCUUGGUAGGUGAGGUCGGUCGGCUGGUUGUCCCAGAAGUUAUAGGCGAAGGCCGUUGAUCGGGACUUCGCCCUGUUGGUGGCGACGGCGAGAAGAAGGGCGAUGGAGAUUAGGGUUUGGAGAAGGUUGGCCAUGGCUUAGUUGUGCAGUGAAUGAUGUCUACUACUUGCUCCUAUUUAUAAUGAUCGAAAAUAUCUACUACUUACCUACCACAGAUCCACAUCAGGGGCCCUGGAUGGGGUGGUCGACUACAUAAGCCCAAAAAAAUAAGGGCUCGGAAAAUAUAUAGAUCCAUGUAAGUAUUAUAUAUAUGUAUAAAAUAAUUAAAAGCCAACUAAUGAUUGAAUUGAUUAACUUGGCGCAGUGGAAAAAGGACAUUUUUAAUUCCUCUUAAUUACCAAUAUUUUAUUUAGUGACCAAUUUUUUUGUUUAGAUAUAGGGCCCAGCCCCUAUUUUGAUAAAUUAAGUGUAUGUAUUUCAAAUUAACAUUAUUUUAAGUUGUCGAAUUUUUUUGUUAAGAUUUAGGGUCCAGCCCCUAUUUUGUUAAAUUAACUUUAUUUUAAGUGAAUGACAUAAUUAUUAAUAUAUUUAUUAAUUAUUAUGUAAUUUGAUAAAAAAAUGUUUUAAAUAAUUUUAGUUUAUAAUUAAUUUAUUUCUCAAUUAUAAAUAAAUGGCCUAAAUUAAAAAAUUCGCAAAGGGCCUAUGUUCUCUUAGCCCUACCCUUGCACUGUUGCACAUGGUAUAUAUAUCUAUUCUAUGAAUAUAAGUGAUUAUUUUAUAAACCACGUGAAAGCACUUGUUCCCACUAGCACUAUAAAAGCAAUAAAUACAACGGAAAGAAAAUAAAUUACAAUUGAAUACAUUAGGAGAAAAAUUACUUCUAACCUAUGGAAUUACUAACAACGAUACUUAUACCAAAGCUAAAUUGGACCAACUAACUGUACACUCUUGUAUUAUAUCAACCUACCAGACCUUAGUAUUCACGAGUCUCCCACAGUCUAGACUGAUUCACAAUAUAUACCAACAUUGGAACAAGUUCAGUAAUACACUCUAUUUAUAUAUAUUAUUAUAUACACAAAAAUGCAUGGCUGCUGUGGUAUUACGGAAGGAUCGAGAAUUACUCGAUCCUUGGGAAAAGGUUCAAAUGAAACCUUUAUUAUUACUCUCCGUCCCCCAAAUAAUAUCAUAUCCGAUUUGGGAUAUUACCCCACCACUAAUAAUACUUUAUUUAUUCUAACUUCUCAAUCUUUCACCAUUCUCAAUACUAAUUAUAACACAUUUUCAUCACUUUCAAUACUAAUUAUAAUUUCUUUUCUCCACUGCUAAUACGUACACUUAACAAUUUUUCCUUAAAACCAGUGUCGUCCCCUACUAAGAAGUUAUUUGGGGGACGUAGGGAGUAUUUUUUAAUGAUAUGGCAUCCAAAUAUGUUGUGACAAUCCAGUGAGCAAUAUCAACUUUUUGGAGCUGAAAACCGAUGUGAGGUACAACUAAUACACAAUAUGUUGUGGCAAUCCAGUAAUAUACCCUAAGGAUGCGUCAUCUUUUGUUGUAAAUUUAUCAUGGAAAAAUGAGGGAUAAACAAAAUUUCACCCAUUAAAUCCUUCAUUUUUUCCCUCAUUUCUUACAAAAUAGAAUUUGACCCUUACUCAUUUCUCAUUUUCACUGCAAAGGGGGGCUAAUAUUAUCUCUCUAUUUUUGGUAUAAUGAAGAAUUUGAUACGUAAUUACAAUUAAUUAUAAUGAAGUGUGUAUUUUAGUUGCUCAUAUUCUUGGAUUAUUUAUGCUUUAAUGAAACGAUCCACUGCCUUUAACAUUUUGGCAUUUUAAAGUAAACGCCGAAAUGCAACGAUCCACUGCCUUUUAAGUAAACACCCUUGCUAACCCCUGCAUGCGUUUUUUCAUCAAACACUUGGGUUCAUUCUUUUAGGCAUUUUAUCAAACAGUUGUGCUCAGCCUCAUCCUUUUGAUCACAUUCCCAUAUCUCUCCUUAUAUGAAACCGCAUUUUCUAUUUCUCAUAUAUUUCCUAUAUAAUAUUUCCAUCAUUUCUAGCUCAACAAUAAUUCUUCUAGCAAAAUUAUCAUUUCAAAUGCACUCUUUUCCUUUUCUACUUUCUCUUCUGCAUAACAGAAAUACUAAUCCACCAUAAAAUAAUCAUAACUUUUUCUUAAUGAUACGAUGAGGGCACAAAGUUGAGAUGAUAAAAUCAUACAUAUUGGCGAAUGUUGCCGCCGGCUUCCUCUGACUUUUGGAUGCUGAGGGGAGGGGUGGCGGUGAAAUACCAGGAGUUGAUGAUGAAUUUGAUGGUUGUUUCCAUGUCCACCUGCCGCAGAGACCGAGAUACGAUUUUAGAAACAAACGGCAAAAUUACAAUUUCACAUAUAAAAAAUAAAAGACAAUUAAUAAAGCGCAUAAUAUUGGUAAGAUGCUUCCAACCAAUAGGUCGGGAUUGUAUAUCGUGUGAGUGUGUUUUUCAUUUUUUAGUAAUAACAUGUCGUGCUCGGGGCUUUUUUCCGUAUCUGCCCCUGCUUCCCGUCGUCGUGCCCGACUCGUCGGUUUUUGUCAUGCGGAGGUAGGUGGUGGCGUCGGUGAAGUUGGCGUCGCCUUCCAAGCGUAGGCCUUCCGAAUGUGGCGGCUUUUGGUAGAAGUCGUAGGUGAAGGAGACUGCAUCGCCGACCGACACGGUGGCGAGGAGGAGGGCGAUGGAGGAGAGGAGAGGAAUUAAGGUUUGGAGAAGGUUGGCCAAUUUGAUUAAAUGUAUUUGGAUGUAGUGGAUGAUGGUGUAUCGAUCUCUUGCUCCUAUUUAUAGUUGUAAAUAUAUAUUAAUAAUGGUAUCAUUCAAUCAUUAUACUUUAGGCCGGCCGGGCCGGAUCCUCUAUUCCAAAUUCUAUGUCUCAUUGUUCAUAUUCACUAUUAAUUUCACUAUUUCAAUAAUUAAAAAAAUUCAUAGAGUUUGGGGCAGAGGAUCCCGUUUGAAUCCCACAUGGAUCCUCUGUCCCAUAACUUAUUGUGUUCCUUCCCAUUAUUAAUCUCGAUAUUAUAUUUCUACUUUGGAGUUAAUUCAUUAUAAACCCAUGAAAGAUCAGACGAAAUUCAUCCAAUAAACAUUUAUAAAUUUAUAUUUAAAUUUUGUUUCGCGGGUAUCUGAUAGAUAAUAGGUAUUCGUGGGUGGCGAAUUUGGGUAGCAUUUGAUAUUCAUAGAUAGUUUCAUGAUUAAAAUCCAAUAUUCAUUUAGUUCACGGGUAUGGUAUGACAGCCACUAUCUGUGUACGUCAUACCUGAUUGCCAGUAUGACAAAUAUAAAAGUUGUGAGAUGCACAGCAGCUUAAUUAUUCAAAUAGAAAUAUCAUCACAUGUGCAUUGAUAUUUCACAAAAUAAAUACUACUACUAAUAAAUACUCCCUCCGUCCACCAAAGAUAUGCCACUUUACUUUCGGUACGAGUUUUAAUAAAAUGUGAGUGAAGUUGGUAGUGGAGUAAGGGUCCCACUUUAAAUGUGAGUGGAAUGGUAUGGACCUUACUACUAAAAAUGGAUGUGGCAUAUUUUUCGUGGACGAACGAGAAAGAAAAUUGUGGCAUAUCUUUGGUGGACGGAGGGAGUAGUACUCAUUGAUAAUGCAUGCCAACACAUGGUUCUUGCAAGUCAUAUAUAUACCUCAUCAGCAAUAUAGUAAAAUGAUGAUUUGACAACCAGAUUAAGACACCAAUUAUUCUUGUCGGGACACAGACAUAUAUGCAUAUAGAAUUAAUAUUAUUUACUAUUUCGUUUAUACACGUGAAUUAUGCUUUGGAUGCAACAUCGCCACGUCUCUUUCAUUUAUACUUCUCUAGUGUAUUGCGGACAAAAUAGUUAGUGUCUUUAAGAAAUUAAAAAUUUUCAAAUACAUAAGAAAGAAUAAUUAAUCUAAUUGGUGCGCCGGCAACUAAAACUUUUUUCAAUUCACUUUAUAUUUUAUAUACUCCCUCCGUCCACGAUUUAAUGCCCCAUUUUAGUGUGGGCACGGAGACUAAGAAAACUGAAAAAGGUGAUGUGAAUGAAAUAUAAGGGUAGUUGACUAAAGUGAUAAAGAUGCUGUGAGUGGGUUCACUAGUGAUAAAGUAUAGGAAAUAUAGAAUAUAAAAAUGAUAAAGGUGUUUUAAGUUGGGUCCAUUAGUGGCAAAGAGUAAUAAAUAUAGAAAAAGAAGAGUAAAAAAGUACAAAAAGCAUAAUAGGGCUUUAAUUUGUGGACAAAAAAUUAAGAGCAAGUAGGGCUUUAAAUUGUGGACGGAGGGAGUAUUUAACAUUACAAGUCAAUUGCUUGCAGAAUUUGAGCUUGUCUCCCGUGAUGGAGACCUCACCAUGCGGCAACCCGUGCCUGCGCCUGCCUUUUUUCUUCCCGUCUUGCUCUAUCCAGAUAUUAUACGUGAUCCAACUCUUUCCAGAUAUUAUACGUAAAUGAUAAUUUUACUAACAAAAAUUACACUUUUUAUCAAUAACAAAUGAAACUAUGCAUACAAAACAGGAGGUAAAUGAUAUUUUUCUUAAUAACAACUGAUACUUUUUCAAUGCAAAUAAUACUUCGCAAAUGAUAUUUUAAUAUAAAAGUAAAUGAUACUUUGUAUAAAAAUAAAUGUUAUAUUACAAAUGACACUUUUAAUGCAUACCAAUGACACUUUUAAUAACAAAAAUUGAGAAAAAAAAAUUAGAAUUCGGCCUUAAUUAAAAUUUGGACAACAUUUAUUUGGGCAAAGAAGAAAAACACCUGAAUUUUUUUUUUUCCUUUUUUGAGAGAGAAAAACUCAUGAAAUUUCAUGCAAAAGGUAAUGCAUAGCCAACCGGGCUCAAUCAUCUUUCGGCGGUUUUGGUUUGAUUCUUCCAACAUCUAGGGUAGCAUUCACACAAAAUCAACUCGUGUUCAAAAAUCUGAAAUUAAAAUUAACGAUGUGUCUCAGUAUAGAGAUAAGAACAUACCCCUCAAAUGGUUCGAGCCAAGGUCUAAUUCCUUCAGCAGUGUGAUAUUCCAAAUUUGAGUAGGCAUAUAUCCGCCAAAGUUGUUGUCUGACAAGCGAAUACUCUCAAGUUGUGGACAUUGGUACAAACUCGAUGGUAUAUCUCCUUCCAAAUUGUUAAAGGAUAGGUUCACUAGUUUAAGUCUUUGAAGGUUAUUGUACGUGCNUAGACAACAAGAAAUAUCUAUUGUCUAUUCUAUGACAAAAAAAUUAAAAAAUUCUAAUAUAUCUGCAUCCCUGUAUUACAAUACCAAUAUAUAUGAAAAAAUAAAAAUAAUUAAAAAUCAAAUAAUCAAACAAUACUUAUAAACCACUAAUACUCACAAUCAAAUAUUUACACAUCAGUGUAAAUAUUGGGUUCGAGUCCUCUGCGUGUGUUGAUCAAGCGGUAAGGGGUUAAUGCCUAAGGUCAAAGGUCUGGGAUUCGAGUCCCCUGUGGUGUAGCCUUUUAAUUUCGUUAUUUAAUAUUGUAAAUUUAUAAAAAAAAAAAAGUAUAUUUACACAUCAACAAUUGUAUUAUCUUUAAUACGCCUUCAUUCAUCUAAUAAAAAAAAUCUCUAAUAAAAUCUCCAACUAACUCCGGUCAUGAUCAUCUCUUGAAGGCGGAGGAAGGUGGAGUCCGUCGGGAAAUGGGUACUGCCUUGAUAGAUGAGAUCUUUCGGCUGGUCGCCCCAGAAGUCGUAGGUGAAGGACGUCGUUUGGGACAACGCCGUGUUGGAAACGGAGAGGAGGAGGACGAUGGAGGAGAGGAGAGGAGUUAAGGUUUGAAGAAGCUGGUUGGCCAUGGCUUAAUUGAUUUAGAUUUAGAGAUGUGGUGGAUGAUGGUGGUAUCGAUCUCUUGCACCUAUUUAUACUAGUAUGGUUCAUGCCUGUUAAUAAUUGUAUAUAUCAAUCAUCGUGCAUCUAUCCCAAAUUAUAUGUCUUAUUAUUCACUAAUUAGAUGGAUUAAAUCCUGAUUAGUAACCAUAAAAUUAAACUGUCAAUGAGGCCUUGCUCUAGUGGCAAAGCUGUGACACCGAAUAACUUUUCUUUGUGAAAUGUCUUGGGUUCAAUCUCGCCUGCAUGCGGUGAUGUGUGUCCAUUUUAGGUGGUGUGGUAUUCUUGUCUGCGUGCGGUGUUGUAUUGUUUAGUGUUGAGGUCCCACAUGCAGAGCGUUCUUGCCUGUGUACGUGUCACAGCCCAAAACCAUUUAUUUUCUUUACAAAUUUUAUAUAUGAAAAUUAUUUAAUUUUUAAGUUAUAGAGUUUUUGAAAUAUAUAUAGUAUCAAUUUUAUGUUAACUUAGUCGUGUCCCUAAUUAAAAGAAUGACUUUAAAAUAAAACUUAAGCCUUAAAAAUUUAAUCUACAUUCAUAUAUAACUGAAAUUACAUGCAUGUCUAAAUAUUAUUUAUAAUUAUCAAUAACAAGAUUAAUGAUUCUAUAUCUCUAUGUUUAUACAUGUAUUCACGUAUGACAUAGUAUAUAUUAGCUAUUAAGUUAAAAACUAAUAAAAUACUACACUUUUGCAUAGGAUAUAUAUUUAAUUAGUAGUAGGAUAGGACACGUGUAUUAAUUUUAAGGGCAAGUAAUCAAACUUUUGAAUGAUUCAUCAUGCUUAAAAAAAAAAGAGACCUAGAUAGAUGAUUCAUCAGAUUCAAAAACAAGUAUAAAUAGACUUCGGGUUUGAAAUUUUAAUUAAUUUGCAACAACAAUUCAAACUGACUGUAUUAAGGUAAGUAGUUACAGAUUUCAUACACAUAUUAUAUGAUUUCGCACACAUAUUAAGGUAAGUAUAUAUAAAUAUUUUUUAAAAUCAUAUAUUAUAUAAUAAUUAUAUUUAAGUUUUAUAUUAUUCUUUAUAAACUAUUGUUUCAUUCUAUAUAAUUAGGUGUGGCACGACUAGGACGUAACUUUCUAUUGAAUUUCUCAAGUUAAUCUUAGAGUUCAAGUUUCAGGUGUGAGAUUUAUUUAAAUACAUGUCGUACGUGGUUAUUUAUUGUCCAUUUUAAUAAGAUGUGUUUACCAUAUGUGUUAUGACGCAUAUUUUUAGGAUAUCACUAGGUGCCCAUAAAUAGGAUCCAGGACUUCACCGUCCUUGGAUUGCCACAAUGCGAUUUGAGGUUUAUUUUGAGGAUGUCGUUAGGGGCCCGUACAUAGGGUCCAGGACUUUAAUAGUCAUUGGGUUGCCAUAGUGCAAAUAUUGAGGAUAUAUAUGAAGUGACCGUAUGUGUUACCGUUUCAUUAACGUGGACAAUGAUUGCAUGUUUAAGAGACAAUAACCAAUUUUUCAGACAUUUGUGAACAAAAUGAAGCAUGUUUAGAGAUCCUUAAUACAGGUGUACGAAAUGAUGGAUAAAUAAGUUUGUGAAACAAAUUUCACCAUACCUAACCCCACAAUUAUUUGCGGUCGAAUUUCCUCGUCACAGGAAAAAGAGAUGAUGACAAAAGGGAAAAAAUUAAUUAACAAAGUAGAAGAUGCAUGACAACUGUAAAAGAAAAAUAAUGCUACUAAUUAAAUAGUCCAAACUUCAUACGUUUCAUAUCAUAAGUGGCAGUUCUAUUUUUUUUUUUGCGAAUGUGAACAAAAUAACGAAUAAUUUUUAAAGUAAUAGUAAUAAGGAGAUGUGUUUUGACAGAAAACGACAUGAGCGGCCUAAAAAUAAGAGGGAAAAAGAUAAUCAUAUAAAUAUUCAAAAUCAAACGGAUUGGCAUGUAUUCAUCAUUUUUUAUUUUUUAUUUUGAUAAUUUAACAGUACUCCCUCCGUCCGUCAAAAGUAGACCACUUUGGUUGGGCACGGGAUUUAAUAAAAUUAGUGAUGAUUUUGAUGUAGUAGAGAAAGAGUUCCACCACUUUAUGAGAUGUGUGGUUGAGAUUGAAUUUGUUGUGAUUUUUUUGUAAAUAAAGAGUGUUUGUAAGGAUAAAAGAUUAAAGUGGGUGGUGGGACCAUUUCCAUAAAAGGAAAGUGGUCUACUAUUUGCGGACGCCCAAUAUAGUAAAAGUAGUCUACUUUUGGCGGACGGGGAGAGUAUUAAAUAAAUAAAUUUAAAGGUUGCACCCCUUACUGCUUGGCUUUUAGAUUAUGUUAUAAUAAUAAAAUUAACAGCACGUUUACAAUAUAAAAUUAAUUAUGAUAAAUACAAUAUAUUAAUAAUAAAUACUCAAUUACCUCUUAACAUAAUUCGCGCAUCAUGGCUUUUAGCUUAUAUUAUAAAGAUAUAAUAUGUUGUCUAUAAUAAUCGACGGAAGGUAAUAGACAACAUGUUUUAUAUGUUGUCUAUAAUAAUAUAGACAGUAGAUCUAGUGUUAUAGAUAACAAUUAAUACUUGUUGUCUAUAUGAUGAUAGACACCAAAAAUCUCUGUUGUCUAUUCUAUGACAAAAAAAUUUAAAAAAAUUCUAAUAUAUUUACAUCCCUGUAUUACAAUACCAAUAUAUAUGAAAAAAUAAAAAUAAUUAAAAAUCAAAUAAUCAAACAAUACUUAUAAACCACUAAUACUCACAAUCAAAUAUUUACACAUCAACAACUGUAUUAUCUUUAAUUACGCCUUCAUUUAUCUAUUAAAAAAAAUCUCUAAUAAAAUCUCUAACUAACUCCGGUCAUCAUCUCUUGAAGGCUUAGAAAAUGUCCAAAUACAGCGGCACAUGCUCAUUAUUGUGUGAGCGAUGAGAACUUUGCGCUGAACCUAUAAAGUAACUAUACUUAACUGGUAAAGUAAUUGUAUCCCGUGAAUCUAAAGGAAGACUACACACGUUGAUAGAGUUUGAAAGAAAAGAAUAAAGAGAAUGAAAAUCCAAAGAAUUUGCUUCUUCCGUUGAACAAUCCCUACACAACAUUGAAAUAUCAAUGAAAAUAAUGGCUAUCGUAUACUCCCUCCAUCCAUGAAAGAACUUCAUAGGAGGGAGUGACACGGGUUUUAAGAAAAAAUAUUGUUAAGUGUAUUGAGAGUGGAUAAAAGGUAGUUGAGUGUAUUGGGAGUGGUGAAAAUGUGUUAUAGUUAAUAUUGAGAGUUGUGAAAAGUGAAAAGUAAGAGGAUUAUAAGUGGUGGGGUAUAGUCCAAAAAUAGGUAGGAAGUUCUUUUGUGGACGUCCCAAAAAGGAAAGAUAUGAAGUUCUUUCGUGGACGGAGGGAGUAUUAUUUUGCAGCAGCAACCACGUUUGAAAACUCGAUCCCUCUGUUCUUGAAUUUGUGAAAUUUCCGACUGAUUUAUUAGAUUCACCAUUUAUUUCAGUUUAAUUAGUCUAUAUAUAGAUAUUUCUUAUAUUAUUAAAUUGUUAACCUCAUGGUAGAUUUCAAGAUUUGAAAAUUCAACAAAGAGCUUGAGAAUUAUUGAGAUUGGAAGGGGAAGAUGAAACAUAAUUGGGUGAAAUUAGAAACCAAUUAAAGUCACAAGAUUGAACAAAAACAUAACUUAAAAACACAAAAUAAGCAAAUCGUAGAUGCAGUAUCUUGCAAGAAAAAGUUCAUAUUCCCAAGGCUAUGAUGAGCACGAAUUAGGGUGUGUCUGCAUUUUAUCCCUCUAAAUAGAGGAAUAACAAAAUUUUAUUCUUUAAAUGUUUGCUUUCUUAUCACACAUUCUACACAAACACCAUUUUUUCUUCCUUAUUUUCACUUCAAGGAGGANUAAUAUUAUCCCUCCAAUUUUGGUGUGAUAAUAUUAUCUCUUCUUGAAGUGAAAAUAAGGAAGAAAAAAUGGUAUUUGUGUAGGAUGUGGGAUAAGAAAGCAAACAUUUAAAGGUAUAAAUUUUUGUUAUUCCUCAUUUAGAGGAAUAAAAAGCAAACACACAUUAGAGUCUACUUACAAUUUAGGCGCAGGCUGUGCGAGAAUUACUUAGUCGAAUAGGAUCCUAAGUAUUUAUAUUUCUCAUGUUCUUGUGUAUUUUUUUACUGAUUCACUAUUGGAUUAACAAGAAUUAUCUUACUUUAAAUUUCUUGCUUUAAAAAAAAAAAAGAAUUAUCUUACUUCAUGUAUGGUAUGCCAACUGUUCGAUAAAGGUCCUUUUAGAAAUCUUCUAUUGAUUACCUUGCGAAGACCACAAAACUAGACACACCCAAAAGCAUUCUUGCAUAGUUUAUACAUAGAGAUGGCCGAUUGAUGAUCGUCUUAUUUGUAGACUUAACGCGAGCAGACUCGAUCGCUUAGUCCUUAUUGAUUUACGACACACAUGCUCACACACACACAUACACACAUCACAAAAUCACACAAAUUGACGGAUAAUGUUGCCGUUCAGCUCCUUCCUGAACCUCACCGCGGCAUUUUUCUGCACCAUAGUGGCCGUGAAAUACCACGAGACGAUGUCAUGGACGGCGACGUGUUGUCCGGUGGCGGCGGAUAGCCCGACCUGAACCUGCUGAGGAACAAAGUCGCUCAAAUCGUACUCAUAGUUGACAUCAAAUGUCUGCGAGCCGGCGGUGACUUUCACGGAGAUCAUCCUUGUGGCUCCGACGUAGUUGAUCCGCGCAGUCACCUGCUGCCCGAGUAUGGAGUUGUCGACCUUCGUCGUGUUGCUGGAUGCCCUAGAGCCGAAGUCGAUGCCGAUGUGGGGAUAGAGCGGAUCCCACGCGCCGUUGACGUAGGUGUCGAUUUCGACGGCGAAGACCGAGGGGCUGUUGCCGUUGGAGCCAAAGAUUCCGAGGUUGGCUCCGUUGGAGCCAGGGGGGAUGGUGGAACCGACGGGGGCAAUGAAGAAGGCGAGGCCGUCGGCAGGCUCGUUGUCGGCGCCCGGGGUGAUGAUGAAGUUCACAGUGGUUUCGAAGUCGACCUGCCCACCGGACUGCGAGAAUUGGACCGGGUUCGAGUGCAAGACGCGGCCGACUUGUGAGGGCUGUGCGUCUGUGAGGCGGAGGAAGGUGGAGUCCGUCGGGAAAUGGGCGCUGCCUUGAUAGAUGAGAUCUUUCGGCUGGUCGCCCCAGAAGUCGUAGGUGAAGGACGUCGUUUGGGACAACGCCGUGUUGGAAACGGCGAGGAGGAGGGCGAUGGAGGCGAGGAGAGGAGUUAAGGUUUGAACAAGCUGGUUGGCCAUGGCUUAAUUGAUUUAGAUUUAGAUUUAGAGAUGUGGUGGAUGAUGGUGGCCAGGUAUCGAUCUCUUGCACCUAUUUAUACUAGUAUGGUUCAUGCCUGUUAAUAAUUGUAUAUAUCAAUCAAUCAUCGUGCAUCUAUCCCAAAUUAUAUGUCUUAUUAUUCACUAAUUAGAUGGAAUAAAUCCUAAUUAGCAAUCUUAAAAUUACACCGCCAAUGAGGCCUUGCUCUAGUGGUAAAGCUGUGGCACCGAAUAACUUUUCUUUGUGAAAGGUCUUGGGUUCAAUCUCGCCUGCAUGCGGUGAUGUUUGUCCAUUUUAGAUGGUGUGGUAUUCUUGCCUGCGUGCGGUGUUGUAUUAUUUAGUCUUAGGCGUUCUUGCCUGUGUGCAUAUCACUGUGUGACAAUUAAAAGAAUGACUUUAAAAUAAAAGUUAAGCCUUAAAAAUUUAAUCUACAUUCAUAUAUAACUGAAAUUACAUGCAUGUCUAAUUUUUUUAAUAUCAUAACAAGAUAAGAUUUAUUAAAUAAUUCAGAUGCAUAAAUAAAAAGUUAAUCUAUAAACACAGUAUAGAUAUAUUAUCAAUGAUAGGCCGUGUAUAAGUCUUAAUCUGUAAAACUAUAUCAUCCCAGCCUUAAACGACUACCAUUCCUGCUUUCCCAGAGCAACCACACUGUUCCCACCCACAAAGCUUUAAGCAGUACAUGCAUGUCUAAAUAUUAUUUAUAAUUAUCAAUAACAAGAUUAAUGAUUCUAUAUCUCUAUGUUUAUACAUAUAUUCACGUAUGACAUAGUAUAUAUUAGCUAUUAAGUUAAAAACUAAUAAAAUACUACAGUUUUGCAUAGGAUAUAUAUUUAAUUAGUAGUAGGAUAGGACACGUGUAUUAAUUUUAAGGGCAAGUAAUCAAACUUUUGAAUGAUUCAUCAUGCUUAAAAAAAAAAAGAGACCUAGAUAGAUGAUUCAUCAGAUUCAAAAACAAGUAUAAAUAGACUUCGAGUUUGAAAUUUUAAUUAAUUUGCAACAACAAUUCAAACUGACUGUAUUAAGGUAAGUAGUUACAGAUUUCAUACACAUUAUAUGAUUUCGCGCACAUACGUAUGUAUAUAUAAAUAUUUUUUAAAAUCAUAUACUCCCUCCGUCCCCAAAAUAAGUUCCUCUUUGGGGACGGCACGGAUUUUAAGGAAAAGUGGUAAAGUGUAUUAAUAGUGGAGAAAAAUAUGUUAUAAUUAGUAUUGGAAGUUGUGAAAAGGUGAAAAAGUGUUAUAAUUAGUAUUGGGAGUGGUGAAAAAGUGAAAAGUAAGAAUAAAUAAAGUAUUAUUAGUGGUGGGGUAGUUGUCCAAAAAUGGAAAAAAAGAAAGAGGAACUUAUUUGGGGGACAUCCCAAAAUGGAAAAAGAGGAACUUAUUUCAGGGACGGAGGGAGUAUUAUAUAAUAAUUAUAUUUAAGUUUUAUAUUAUUCUUUAUAAACUAUUGUUCCAUUCUAUAUAAUUAGGUGUGGCACGACUAGGACGUAACUUUCGAUUGAAUUUCUCAAGUUAAUUUUCAAGUUCAAGUUUCAGGUGUGAGAUUUAUUUAAAUACAUGUCAUGAUUAUUCAUUGUCCAUUUUAAUAGUAUGUGUUUACCAUAUGUGUUAUGACGCAUAUUUUGAGGACAUCGCUAGGAGCCCAUAAAUAGGGUCCAGGACUUCACCGUCCUUGGAUUGCCACAAUGCGAUUUGAGGUUUAUUUUGAGGAUGUCGUCAGGGGCCCGUAAAUAGGGUCCAGGACUUUAAUAGUCAUUGGGUUGCCACAGUGCGAAUAUUGAAGAUAUAUAUGAAGUGACCGUAUGUGUUACCGUUUCAUUAACGUGGACAAUGAUUGCAUGUUUAAGAGACAAUAACCAAUUUUUCAGACAUUUGUGAACAAAAUGAAGCAUGUUUAGAGAUCCUUAAUAAAGGUGUACGAAAUGAUGGAUAAAUAAGUUUGUGAAACAAAUUUCACCAUACCUAACCCCACAAUUAUUUGCGGUCGAAUUUCCUCGUCACAGGAAAAAGAGAUGAUGACAAAAGGGCAAAAAUUAAUUAACAAAGUAGAAGAUGCAUGACAACUGUAAAAGAAAAAUAAUGCUACUAAUUAAAUAGUCCAAACUUCAUACGUUUCAUAUCAUAAGUGGCAGUUCUAUUUUUUUUUUGCGAAAGUGAACAAAAUAACGAAUAAUUUUUAAAGUAAUAGUAAUAAGGAGAUGUGUUUUGACAGAAAACGACAUGAGCGGCCUAAAAAUAAGAGGGAAAAAGAUAAUCAUAUAAAUAUGGGUUAAUUGCCUCUAAAUACACCACCUUUCCUUGAAUUCUACAAUUGCACAUCACCUUUAAAAUCCGCCCUUAAAUACACCACCUUUCCUUGAGUUCUACAAUUGCACAUCACCUUUAAAUCCGCCCCAAAAUACAUCAUCUUUAUAUUUUUUCUGUUUUUGCACAUGACUAAAAAAUUCUCAAGAAAUAAAUUAAAGUGUUAAUUUAUAAAUUUAAAUAUCUUUUUAGCAGCGAAAACAUAAUAAAAUAAAAUUCUUUAUAAAGUUUAAAAUCAUAUAUAUAUAUAUAUAUAUAUAAGUAUUUUCGUAAAGAAAUAAAUUCUCUAAUAAAUUUUUAGAAAGAACUUGAAUUAAAAAAAUAAACAAGUCAUGACAUUAAGAAAAUAAAAUGAAAUUUUUAUUUUAAUAAAUUUCACACGAAUUCGAUAUAAUUUGGAAUUUAGAGUUACAAUAAUCAGAAGUACCACAUGAAUAAUAUAAUGAGUUUGAAAGAAAUUUUUUUUAAAGAGGUUCGACACGCCCAUUCGACUUUCCACGCGCCUCCAAUGUCAUUUACCUGAAAUAUUAANUAUAUAAGUAUUUUUCGUAAAGAAAUAAAUUCUCUAAUAAAUUUUUAGAAAGAACUUGAUUAAAAAAUAAACAAGACAUGACAUUAAGAAAAUAAAAUGAAACUUUUAUUUUAAUAAAUUUCACACGAAUUCGAUAUAAUUUGGAAUUUAGAGUUACAAUAAUAAAAAGAACCACAUAAAUAAUAUAAUCAGUUUGAAAGAAAUAUAUAUAUAUUUUUUUAAAGAGGUUCGACGCGCCCAUUCGACUCUCCACGCGCUACCAAUGUCAUUACCUGAAAUACUAAAUAUGGGAUAAGCAUACAUAAUAUACUUAGUGUGGGAACAUGCAAUUAUUGUCCACGUUAAUAAAAUAGUAACACAUACGAUCAUAACAUUCAAAACGACACAAUUUUGCCAAUAUGGAAGCCACGUCAUUUAAAGUGGUAACACCCUAAUCUAACUAAAGUGUUAAAUAUAAAUUUAAAGCGGAAAUAUAAUAAAAUAAAGUUCUUUAUAAAAAUAAAUAAAGAAUUUUAUUUUAUUAUAUUUCCGCUGCUAAAAAAGAUAUUUAAAAUUUAUAAAUUAACACUUUAAUUUAUUUCUUGAGGAUUUUUAAGUCAUGUGCAAAAACAGAAAAAAAAUAUAAAGGUGAUGUAUUUUGGGGCGGAUUUAGAAUUCAAGGAAAUGUGGUGUAUUUAGGGGCGGAUUUUAAAGGUGAUGUGCAAUUGUAGAAUUCAAGGAAAGGUGGUGUAUUUAGGGGAAAUUAACCCUAUAAAUAUUCAAAAUCAAACGGAUUGGCAUGUAUUCAUCAUUUUUUAUUUUUUAUUUUGAUAAUUUAACAGUAUUAAAUAAAGAAAUUUAUAGGCUGCGUCCCUUACUGCUUGGCUUUUAGAUUAUGUUGUAAUAAUAAAAUUAAAAGCACGUUUACAAUAUAAAAUUAAUUAUGAUAAAUACAAUAUAUUAAUAAUAAAUACUCAAUUACCUCUUAACAUAAUUCGCGCAUCAUGGCUUUUAGCUUAUAUUAUAAAGAUAUAAUAUGUUGUCUAUAAUAAUCGACGGAAGGUAAUAGACAACAUGUUUUACUUCUUGUCUAUAAUAAUAUAGACAGUAGAUCUAGUGUUAUAGAUAACAAUUAAUACGUGUUGUCUAUAUGAUGAUAGACACCAAAAAUCUCUGUUGUCUAUUCUAUGACAAAAAAAUUUAAAAAAAUUCUAAUAUAUUUACAUCCCUGUAUUACAAUACCAAUAUAUAUGAAAAAAUAAAAAUAAUUAAAAAUCAAAUAAUCAAACAAUACUUAUAAACCACUAAUACUCACAAUCAAAUAUUUACACAUCAACAAUUGUAUUAUCUUUAAUUACGCCUUCAUUUAUCUACUAAAAAAAAUCUCUAAUAAAAUCUCUAACUAACUCCGGUCAUCAUCUCUUGAAGGCUUAGAAAAUGUCCAAAUACAGCGGCACAUGCUCAUUAUUGUGUGAGCGAUGAGAACUUUGCGCUGAACCUAUAAAGUAACUAUACUUAACUGGUAAAGUAAUUGUAUCCCGUGAAUCUAAAGGAAGAAUAAACACGUUGAUAGAGUUUGAAAGAAAAGAAUAAAGAGAAUGAAAAUCCAAAGAAUUUGCUUCUUCCGUUGAACAAUCCCUACACAACGUUGAAAUAUCAAUGAAAACAAUGGCUAUCCUAUACUCCCUCCAUCCAUGAAAGAACUUCCUAGGAGGGAGUGACACGGGUUUUAAGAAAAAAUAUUGUUAAGUGUAUUGAGAGUGGAUAAAAGGUAGUUGAGUGUAUUGGGAGUGGUGAAAAUGUGUUAUAGUUAAUAUUGAGAGUUGUGAAAAGUGAAAAGUAAGAGGAUUAUAAGUGGUGGGGUAUAGUCCAAAAAUAGGUAGGAAGUUCUUUUGUGGACGUCCCAAAAAGGAAAGAUAUGAAGUUCUUUCGUGGACGGAGGGAGUAUUAUUUUGCAGCAGCAACCACGUUUAAAAACUCGAUCCCUCUAUUCUUGAAUUUGUGAAAUUUCCGACUGAUUUAUUAGAUUCACCAUUUAUUUCAGUUUAAUUAGUCUAUAUAUAGAUAUUUCUUAUAUUAUUAAAUUGUUAACCUCAUGGUAGAUUUCAAGAUUUGAAAAUUCAACAAAGAGCUUGAGAAUUAUAGAGAUUGGAAGGGGAAGAUGAAACAUAGUUGGGUGAAAUUAGAAACCAAUUAAAGUCAGGAGAUUGAAGAAAAACAUAACUUAAAAACACAAAAUAAGCAAAUCGUAGAUGCAGUAUCUUGCAAGAAAAAGUUCAUAUUCCCAAGGCUAUGAUGAGCACGAAUUAGGGUGUGUCUGCAUUUUAUCCCUCUAAAUGGAGGAAUAAUAAAAUUUUAUGCCUUUAAAUGUUUGCUUUCUUAUCACACAUUCUAAACAAACACCAUUUUUUCUUCCUUAUUUUCACUUCAAUGAGGGAUAAUAUUAUCCCUCCAAUUUUGGUGUGAUAAUAUUAUCCCUCCUACAAGUGAAAAUAAGGAAGAAAAAAUGGUACUCCCUUCGUCCCAAACGAAAUGUCCUGUUUUCCUUUUUGGGCUGUCCCAAACGAAAUGUCCUGUUUCCUUUUUUGGCAAUACACUCUCUCUCUAUACUUAAUAUUUAAAUAAUUUUCACCAACCCACUUUAUCUACUUUAUACACAUUUCUUAAUCUCCGUGCCGAAAAGAAAUGGGACAUUUCGUUUGGGACGGAGGGAGUAUUUGUGUAGGAUGUGGGAUAAGAAAACAAACAUUUAAAGACAUAAAUUUUUGUUAUUCCUCCAUUUAGAGGGAUAAAAAGCAAACACACCUUAGAGUCUAAUUACAAUUUAGGCGCAGGCUGUGUGAGAAUUACUUAGUCGAAUAGGAUCCUUAGUAUUUAUAUUUCUCAUGUUCUUGUGUAUUUUUUCACUGAUUCACUAUUGGAUUAACAAGAAUUAUCUUACUUUAAAAAAAAAAAAGAAAUGAUCUUACUUCAUGUAUGGUAUGCCAACUGUUCGAUAAAGGUCCUUUUAGAAAUAUUCCAUAGAUUACCUUGCAAAGACCACAAAACUAGACACACCCUGCAUAGUUUAUACAUAGGGAUGGCCGAUUGAUGAUCGUCUUAUUUGUAGACUUAACGAGAGCAGACUCGAUCGCUUAGUCCUUACUGAUUUACGACACACAUGCACACAUACACAGAUACACACAUCACAAAAUCACGCAAAUUGACGGAUAAUGUUGCCGGCCAGCUCCUUCCUGCUCCACGCCACGGCAUUUUUCUGCACCAUGGUGGCCGUGAAAUACCACGAGACGAUGUCAUGGGUGGCGACGUGUUGUCCGGUGGCGGCGGAUAGCCCGACCUGAACCUCCUGAGCAACAAAGUAGCUCAAAUCGUACUCAUAGCUGACAUCAAACGUCUGAUUGCCGGCGGUGACUUUGACGGAGAUCAUCCUUGUGGCUCCGACGUAGUUGAUCCGCGCAGUUACCUGCUGCUUGAGUAUGGAGCUGUCGACCGGCGUCGUCUUGCUGGAUACCCUAGAGCCGAAGUCGAUGCCGAUGUGGGGAUAGAGCGGAUCCCACGCGCCGUUGACGUAGGUGUCGAUUUCAACGGCGAAGACCCCGGGGCUGUUGCCGUUGGAGCCAAAGAUUCCGAGAUUGGCUCCGUCGGAGCCAGGGGGGAUGGUGGAGUCGACGGGGGCAAUGAAGAAGGCGAGGCCGUCGGCAGGCUCGUUGUCGGCGCCGGGGGUGAUGAUGAAGUUCACGGUGGUUUCGAAGUCGACCUGCCCAUUGGACAUCCAGAAUUGGACCGGUUCCGAGUACAUGACGCGGCCGACUUGGGACGGUUGUGCGUCUGUGAGGCGGAGGAAGGUGGAGUCCGUCGGGAAAUGGGCGUUGCCUUGAUAGAUGAGAUCUUUCGGCUGGUCGCCCCAGAAGUCGAAGGUGAACGACGUCGUUUGGGACAACGCCGUGUUGGAAACGGCGAGGAGGAGGGCGAUGGAGGCGAGGAGAGGAGUUAAGUUGGCCAUGGCUUAAUAGAUUUAGAUUUAGAGAUGUGGUGGAUGAUGGUGGUAUCGAUCUGUUGCACCUAUUUAUACUAGUAUGGUUCAUGCCUGAUAAUAAUUGUAUCAAUCAAUCAUCGUGCAUCUAUCCCAAAUUAUAUGUCUUAUUAUUCACUAAUUAGAUGGAAUAAAUCCUAAUUUGCAAUCUUAAAAUUAAACCGCCAAUGAGGCCUUGCUCUAGUAGCAAAGCUGUGGCACCCAAUAACUUUUCUUUGUGAAAGGUCUUGGGUUCAAUCUCGCCUGCAUGCGGUGAUGUUUGCCCACUUUAGGUGGUGUGGUAUUCUCGCCUGCGUGCGGUGUUAUAUUGUUUAGUGUUAAGGUCCCACAUGCAGGGCGUUCUUGCAUGUGUGCGUGUCACAACCCAAAACCAUUUAUUUUCUUUACAAAUUUUAUAUGAAAAUUAUUUGAUUUUUAAGUUAUAGAGUUUUCGAUAUAUAUACAUAUAGUGUCAAUUUUAUGUUAACUUAGUCGUGUCCCUAAUUAAAAGAAUGAAUUUGAAAUAAAAGUUAAGCCUUAAAAAUUUAAUCUACAUUCAUAUAUAACUGAAAUUACAUGCAUGUCUAAAUAUUAUUUAUAAUUAUCAAUAACGGGAUUAAUGAUUCUAUAUCUCUAUGUUUAUACAUAUAUUCACGUAUGACAUAGUAUAUAUUAGCUAUUAAGUUAAAUAAAAUACUACAGUUUUGCAUAGGAUAUAUAUUUAAUUAGUAGUAGGAUAGGACACGUGUAUUAAUUUUAAGGGCAAGUAAUCAAACUUUUGAAUGAUUCAUCAUGCUUAAAAAAAAGAGACCUAGAUAGAUGAUUCAUCAGAUUCAAAAACAAGUAUAAAUAGACUUCGAGUUUGAAAUUUUAAUUAAUUUGCAACAACCAUUCAAACUGACUGUAUUAAGGUAAGUAGUUACAGAUUUCAUACACAUUAUAUGAUUUCGCGCACAUACGUAUGUAUAUAUAAAUAUUUUUUAAAAUCAUAUAUUAUAUAAUAAUUAUAUUUAAGUUUUAUAUUAUUCUUUAUAAACUAUUGUUCCAUUCUAUAUAAUUAGGUGUGGCAUGACUAGGACGUAACUUUCGAUUGAAUUUCUCAAGUUAAUCUUCAAGUUCAAGUUUCAGGUGUGGGAUUUAUUUAAAUACAUGUCGUGGUUAUUUAUUAUCCAUUUUAAUAAUAUGUGUUUACCAUAUGUGUUAUGAUGCAUAUUUUGAGGAUAUCGCUAGGGGCCCAUAAAUAGGGUCCAGGACUUCACCGUCCUUGGAUUGCCACAAUGCAAUUUGAGGUUUAUUUUGAGGAUGUCGUCAGGGAUCCGUAAAUAGGGUCCAGGACUUUAAUAGUCCUUGGGUUGCCACAGUGCGAAUAUAUUGAGGAUAUAUAUGAAGUGACCGUAUGUGUUACCGUUUCAUUAACGUGGACAAUGAUUGCUUGUUCUCACACUGAGUGUACUCUGUAUGCUCAUCCCAUAUUUAACGUGGAAGGUCGAUUGACGAAUCAAAUAUUUUGUAUUUAGCUUUACCUAAAUAUGUUAUUUUGAGUAAAGUAUUUUAAAUAAAAAUUUAUUUCAUAAUUUUCUCAUUAAAUAUUUAUUUAUAUUCAUAGCUUUUCCGCACAAAUAUUUAUUUAAAUUUUAAUUAGAUUUGGGUGUCACUGUGCGGUGAUGUUUUUCCACCGUUUCGGUGGUGGUGAGGCCCCACCUGCGUGCACGUUAUAUACUUGAUUAUAUUCAGAUACCUCUUGUAAUUUUUAAAAAAAUAAUCAUAAAAUUAAACCAAAGCAUAUAAAAUUGAAAUUGGCCAAAAAAAUAUAUAAAAAUAAAUAAAAUUAAAAAUGGGAUAUAAAGUGAGACAUUAAAUGUGGUACACUACUGAAUCUCAAUCCAACACGUGGAUGCUACAUUGUACUUGUCGGAAUAUUAGAACUUCUACAAAAUAUUGCUAUUGGAAACGUGAAAUUUUAUUAUGAGAAAACUUAUACCUGACCCCACAGUCGUGGGCACGUGUUAUGUUGCGCGGAAAUUAAAGUGGUGGGGACCGUAAAUGGUAUUUUAGUCUUUUAAUUUAUUUUAGUAUACAAAAGAGUUAAUUUUAAAGAGGCGCUAAAAAACACAUCACUUUUAAAAAUUGGUAUUUAAAAUCUUGAACCCCUUUUAUUAUUUUAGAAAGAUAUUAAUUAAUUGAUAAAUUAAUAAAUUAUUAAUUGAAACAAUUAUUUUAAGCAAAUUUAAUUAUAAUUACCUAAAAAUUUAAAAAACAUAAAUUCAAUACCAUUCAAAUUCAACAAACUAACUUAAAUUUUUACUUUAAAAAAUCUUCAUCAAUCUUGCAAUCUCGGCUUGGACUAUAAAUGUUCAACAAGAGACAAUAACCAAUUUUUCAGACAUUUGUGAACAAAAUGAAGCAUGUUUAGAGAUCCUUAAUAAAGGUGUACGAAAUGAUGGAUAAAUAAGUUUGUGAAAAUUUCACCAUACCUAACCCCACAAUUAUUUGCGAUCGAAUAUCCUCGUCACAGGAAAAAGAGAUGAUGACAAAAGGGAAAAAAAAAUUAACAAAGUAGAAGAUGCAUGACAACUGUCAAGAUAAAUAAUGUUACUAAUUAAAUAAUCCAAACUUUAUACGUUUCAUAUCAUAAGUGGCAGUUCUAUAUUUUUUGCGAAAGUGAACAAAAUAACGAAUAAUUUUUAAAGUAAUAGUAAAAGGAGAUGUGUUUUGACAGAAAACGACAUGAGCGGCCUAAAAAUAAGAGGGAAAAAGAUAAUCAUAUAAAUAUUCAAAAUCAAACGGAUUGGCAUGUAUUCAUCAUUUUUUAUUUUAAUAAUUUAACAGUAUUAAAUCAAGAAAUUUAAAGACCGCGCCCCUUACUGCUUGGCUUUAAGAUUAUGUUACAAUAAUAAAAUUAACAGCACGUUUACAAUAUAAAAUUAAUUAUGAUAAAUGCAAUAUAUUAAUAAUAAAUACUCAAUUACCUCUUAACAUAAUUCGCGCAUCAUGGCUUUUAGCUUAUGUUAUAAAGAUGGAGUAUAAAAUAAUCAUCACCUGUGCAUGAUAUUUCACAAAAUAAUUAAAUAAUAAAAUAAUCAAUCAUAAUGCCAAGACGUGACUCUUGUCGGUCAUAUCUCAUCAACUUUAUCUAUAUAGUACAAUGAUGAUUAAUUUGAGAACGACGAUUAAGACACCAACUAUUCUUGUGGGGACACAUGCAUAUAUAGAAUUAAUAUUAUAAACUCUCUCGGUCCACGAAAUAACUUACUAUUUUUUCUUUUAAGAACGUGAACAAAAAAAAUUCCCAUCGAUAUUUCGGAACUAUACCCCACUACUUUAAAAUACCUCAUUUUACCCUUUCUUUUUCACAAAAACAACAAAUUACUAAUAAUUUUUCACUAUUCCUAAUAUACUGAACAAUUUUUCUCCACUCUCAAAUUUUGUAGCACCGAAUAAAAUUAAAUACUAGUAUUAUUUUUUGUAGAACUAUAAAUAAAUAUUAUUCUCAAAACAUGUACUAUUACUUACUAUUUUUUUUAAAUGUGGGACGACCAAAAAAGGAAAGAUGAAUUCUAAAAGCUGGGACAGAGGAUAUAUUAUUUUUCUUCUUGGUUCUGAAGUAUGAAUAUUAAUUAACAAUUCUUCGUCCACAUCAAGCUCACCUUCACGUAAUUUUUUCUUGAACAACACCGAAAAAUAUAUAAUCCCAACAUAGCAUGAUCAAUCUCAAUGCACCAAACAUAAAUUAGUUUUAAAAUAAUAAUAAGAUUAACUACUAUAUUGCUGAAUUAUGCAGUAGAAUUAAAAGCGUGAUUUUUUUUUAAUAGAGCAGGUUAAUCUAGGCCUACCUGAACCAUCUGACUAUGCAUGAGUUUGAUUUUUCUUCUUGAUCUUUUUUAAUUUUACCGACAAAGAAGAUUUUCACAAAUGAAAAGAAAACGUUCUAGUAACAUACUACAUGCUUACUUCAGAUUUGCAACCAAGUCUAUUGAGGGUUUUAUUUGCUACAUAUAUAAACACAAGGAUUUGGUUUGAUACAAAUUAAGAAUAUUCAACUUUCAUCGGCUCAAGCACAUAGAAUCUCCCCGAGUAGUUAUAACUGGUCAAUGUUUUUGCCGAUAAAAAGGAAAAGGAAAGAAAAAAGAAAGAAGCAAGACGGAGAAAAAGUUGUAGUAAAUGAUUAUGCGAUGAAAAGAAAAUGGAAAAGAGAAAGAAAGAAGAAAGUUGUAGGAAUUUUGAAGAAUUUGUACUUAUUUAGAAUUGUGGUUAUUGUGGGAUCUUGUAUAAUAAUAAUAAUAAUAAUAAUAAUAAUAAUAAUAAUUAUUGGGCCGUUCCACGAAUCUUGGCACAUUUUCAAAUAAGGUAAUAAUUCAUUCUCUCUCUUACUUUAUCACUUUAAUACUUUAUUAACUACAAACUUAAAACACUAAUAUACAAUUCCUUAAUUCCCGUGUCGAAACCAAACGUGUCAAGAUUCGUUGGAUGGAGGGAGUAAUAAUAAUAAUAAUAAUAAUAGUAAUAAUAAUAAUAAUAAUAAUAAUAAUACAUCAUUGCCCUUUAAAAAGUUUUAAAAUAGGAACAUAAUAUGUAAAUCUAAUUUUGUAAAAGAAGCUCUUCUAUAGUAAUAGUUAUAGAUUUGGUGUGGAGGCAUUUGUUUGAGAAUGGGUAAAACAUACCAUUAACCCUUUGAUAUAUGCACGAGACACUUAUUUGUGGAUAGGACAAGAAUUAUUUUGUUGCAUAGGAUCCCUUCCAAAUGUAAUUACUGAUUCACAAUUGGAUUAACAAGAAUUAACUUACUUCAUAUUCAGUAUUCCAACUGUUCGAUAAAAGUUCUUAAUGAAAUCUUCCAUAGAUUACCCAAAUGCAUUGUUUUGCAUAGUCCGUACAUUGAGAUGGUCGAGUAUCUUAUGUCUAGACUUAACGAGAGCAGACUCGAUCGCUUAGUCCUUAUUUAUUUACGACACACACACAUCUCAAAAUCACACAAAUUGACGAAUAAUGUUGCCAGCCAGCUCCUUCCUGUUCCACGCGCCAGCAUUUGUCUUCACCAUGGUGGCUGUGAAAUACCAUGAGAUAAUAUCAUGUUUGGCGACGUAUGGUUGGUUUAGUCCGCUGGCGGCGGAGAGCCCUACCUGAACCUGCUCAGGAAGAAACUCGCCCAAAUUGUACACAUGGCUGACCUCAAACGUCUUCGAGCCGGCGGUGGCACUGACGGUGAUCAUCUUCGUGGCUCCGACGUAGUUGAUCCGCGCAGUCACCUGCUGUCCGACUAUGGCGUCUCCGACAUUCGUCGUGUUGCUGGAUUCCCUAGAUCCGAGGUCGAUGCCGAUGUGGGGAUAGUUCGGAUCCCACGGGCUGUUGAUGAAGGUGUCGAACUCGACGGCGAAGACCGAGGGGCUAUUGCCGUUGGAGCCGAAAAUUCCGAGGUUGGCCCCAACAGCGCCACUGGGGAUGGUGGAGCCGACGGGGGCAAUGAAGAAAGCGAGGCCGUCAGCGGUUUUGCCAUCGGGGCUGGGUGUGAUGAUGAAGUUAAUGGUGGUUUCAAAGUCGACUUGGCCACCGGAUUGGGAGAACUGGACCGGCUUCGAGUACAAGACCCGGCCGACCUGGUAUGUCUCGAAGUCGGUGAGGCGGAGGAAGGUGGAGUCCGAUGGGAAAUGGGCGUGGCCUUGGUAGGUGAGAUCGGUCGGCUGGUCGCCCCAGAAGUCGUAGGUGAAGGACGUUGUUUGGGACCACACCGUGUUGGCAGCGGCGGCAAGGAGAAGGGCGAUGGAGAUUAGGGUUUGUUGAAGGUUGGCCAUCGCUUAAUUGAUUUGGAUGUG